UGGAUGCGUUACCUGUAACUUCAGCUGGCGAGCGUGAGGAUGCUGCCGUGGGCGAGGGCGCACCUGAGCCCCAUAGGCCAGGCGCUCAUCAUCUCCACCGUCGCUGGGAUGGCCUACUUCAUCGUCGCCGACAAGACCAUCCUCUCCAUGGCCAGGAAGCACUCCUUCGACGACGCGCCAGACCACCUCAAGAACACCUCCUUCCACUAAUUAGCCCACAAUAGAUCCAUUAGUGGCGCGCAAUAAGAUACUCCCUCUGUCCGGAAAUACUUGUCAAAAAAAUGAAUGUAUCUAGUCGUAUUUUAGUUUUAGAUACAUUCAUUUUUACCCGUUUUCGUGACAAGUAUAUUCGGACGGAGGGAGUACUACUAUUACUAGUAGUAUAAUGUUCAACAAUUAUGUGACAUCACGCGAGGCUUGCAGACAGCGAGUGCUGUACUGCGCUGCUCUGCGUGUAGAAGCACUAAUCUCAUGUAUCCGUGUAUCCAGCCAGUAAUCUUGAAUUAAUAAUAACCUGCAUUUGUACAACUCGGGUUGGCCAUACCAUCACACGACUUACAUUUUCUUGUUUGUGACUGUCAUUUGACAUGCGGCGGUCGCUCUGUGGCAGAGCAUGCACAAGACCGAAAUAACACUACUACUACAUUCUUUGAUCCUCUAUUCCUCCCCUGUUCCGCGAUGCACGCCAGGAUCAUGUCACCUCACUUGUUUAAAAUCUUUUGAUGGGUUUUAAAAGAUGGGGUGACAAAUGAAGGAAGGUUUAUUAAUAAAGGAACAAAAGGAAAUAAUUAUUAUAGGAUAACUAGUCGUACAUUUAUCCUCAUUGAAAAAAUAGUCGUACGUUUUGAAACGCCACUCAUGUACUAGCGGAGUCCCGCCUUUGACUUAGAGAGGUAUUUCUUGCUAGAGAUAAGGACCUGUAUCAGUUUGCACGAUGGUUCAGCUGUAAUUUCUCUCAUAAAUCGGAUACAAAUGAGGGCCCUUUGCGGGCAUCCAAACAACACCUACGAUCGUUUCUGAUCAUGUUGGCACACCCAAACUCCGUCCUAUCUCGCCAAACGGGGGCCCUUCGCGGGUAUCCAGACAACACCCACGACCGCUUCUGAUCAUGUUGGCACACCCAAACUCCGUCCUACCUCGCCUGCACACUUUCUCGCUCGGCGCUAUCUGUCCACAUUCAUGUCGCUGUAGAACGGCCGCUUCACAUUGAAGCCGACCCAGAGCGAACACGACCUCUCACUGCCUCCGCAACUGAAAUGGCGCGCCGGCCGAGGGCGUCGCCCGCUGCCCGUCCGGCUGAAUACGCCUCCUCACUGCAUUCAAACGGCUGCAAACUGCUCGCCUUCCUCCAUUAAACUCGUGCAUGUGCUAAGAUAUCUACUCUUGCUGGAUCAAGAAGGAGAGGACGCCGCCAAGCCGUACGUGUGCUAAACUCAGAGGUGCCGCACGUGUGGUACGUGUGCUAAAGGAAAACCACGUGGCAUGAGCCAGCUCCAGGGGCCUGGAGCCCUUUAGUACCGGUUGGUAAGACCAACCGGUACUAUAAGGUUUGGUUUUUUUUUAGUUUUAUGAUUUCUUUUUCAUUUUAUUUUGUGUUUCCAUUUUAAUUCUUUUUCUUUUGCUGGUAUUUUACGAUAUAUAGAAUUUCUAGUAGAACCAAUCAUGCAUAUAUAUAUCAUCAAUGUCUCACAAACCAUCAUAUUAAUUAAUUCACACAUACACACAUGUAUAGCUAUAUACAAUUUCUCCUACAUAUGCAUGUUGCCUUCGGAGCCAGUGGCAUUAGCCUAAUUGGUGCCUUCGGAGCACGAUGACAAUUGGAAGUGGUUUUCAUGGGGGCGGUAGCAGGUAAUAGUAUUCUCCCUUUGGAUUUAUGACCUGGUCGAGCAAAAAUCCCGCUAUUUCCUCUUGAAGUGCUUCUACGCGCUCCAUUUCUAAGAGCUUCUCCCGCACCUUUCUGAACUGUUAAGAAGGAGAUCAAUAUGCAUGUGUAUUAGUUGUGUGACUAGAUAUCGAUAAUGGUGUAAAAAUUGUGAAUAGUGUUUUGACAAGCGUACCCAUUCCUGUCUUUGAGAUCUGCUCCUUUCGGAUGCCAUCAUGUGAAUGUUCUCGCAAACGCAGAAUGCACACAGAUCAGUCCCCUGCGCCUGCUUCAGGGCCUUUACGAGAAUGGAAUUUGAUCAGAUAAUAAUUAAUCAAGCAUGAUAAUUAAAGAGAUGGCAGCUAACUAGCUAGCUAGUACUACUUAAUUACUUACCUUGGAUCUUCCCCAUUUAAGCUUUUCUUUCCAUUCGCCUUCCGUGACGCUGAUGAACCUUGCCCAAGCCAUGCCCGCCGACAAAGAAAAUAAAUAAAGGGGUUAUUAAAUAGUUCAUAUCAUGAAAUGACAAACUAAAUAGGCCGAGAUAUAUAGUUAAUAAUGAUUGAAAUUACCUGUUGACUAUCCCAAACAAGAUGUUAUAGUCAGUUUUUUCUUUGAGUAGUGAGUCCAGUAUUUCAACUGUUCGGCGUCAACUUUAAUGAUACACAAGACCCAGUGAUAUCUGCAUGCACACACGUUUGCAUGUCUUAAUUAAGCGGGCAUAUGUAAGAAAAAAUAUGUAGCUAGCUAGUAGGCAAAAACAGAAAAUUUGUAGUACAAGACAGUGUGACUCACUGGAAGUUGUAAGGAAGUAGUAUAUCUUCAUUGUAUUUGAGGCGCUUCAAGAACUCUAGCAUGCUGUCCUCUACGGCCUUUUGAUGACGUGCAUCUAUUUUCCAUGUGUAUUUAUUAACGGUGUUUGGGUCAAUGAACCCAAUGCCAUAGCGUCCACCUUUUCUCAUUUCAUACAUCUUUAUCCUGCAUAUAAUACCACAGAAAAGAAUAUAGUGAGGAUAAUUACAGGUAAUGAUUGAUCAAAAGGAUCACUACAGCUAGCUUGAGACUUAAAUUACAGAAAGAAAUCACUUACAGACAAUAGCAACUGACGAUAGAUUUGUCGAGUGCGUCUUGAUUGUAUAACUGAAACAGUUCAGAAUACUCAACGGACACAGCUUUCUCAUGGUAGUAAUGCUCCUCCUUGACAUUCACCAUGAGGGACAAUCGAUCGGAAAUCUUGGUAAUGUUCAUGUACCAUUGAUGCAAUUCAUACAUUCUCGUUGGGAGGUUCUUGACCUUGUCUGGCUCGACCAAAGGUUGGCCCCGGACAUAUUUCCGUUUUAUUUCAUCCUCUCUAAGCACAGGCAUGGGCUCGAUCUCGAGGAGUUGUCCAACAGCGAUUUUGAGAACUUCAGCCUGCAGUAUAUGCUCCUCCGUUAUUACCACAUUGCCCACCUUAGGAACGUAAACUGUUUGCCCACAAUAAUAUUGGGCGCGCGUACUGUCACGUGUUGUUGGCACAACAAGCAAGGGGAUCGAUUGCGCCGCCUGUUCUCCCAGCUGGGGAAUGGUUUUCCCGCAUUUUUUGACAACUGCUUCUUGUUUGCUCGAUCCCGAGCUCGCCUCCUUACGUAGACGUGCUCGAUUUAACUUCCUGAUGUGACGCUCAUAGUCUGUGUCAACAGGCUUGGGAGCUGGUGGUUAAGCCAUACGAAUGAAGUGGUCAACCGUUUCCUCAGGCACUUUCUCCCUUGGCGGCGAUGGCGGUUUCGGUGCAAAAUGGGCUUCCACCUCGGACUUCGAUAUGGCUGCGAUUUCCUCCUCGGACCUGUCAUAAGCCCUCUGCGGAAGAGGCGUGAGGCUUGGACCAUAUUUAUAUCGCUUGCCUCCGCCUGUACUUCCUGUACUACCUCGACUCGUACCGCUACGCACCAUAGCUGCGGGGUGUCUCUUCUGUGAUUGUUGAGGCGGCGGAGACGGCUGACGGGGCUGAGUUGGACGAGGAGGAGUGGCCGCCUGAAGCUGUGCCGGACUUGGAGGAGGAGUGGCCUGAGGUUGUGCCGGACUUGGAGGAGGAGUGGACGUCUGACGCUGUAGCGGACUUGGAGGAGGAGGAGUGGCCUGACACUUUGCCGGACUUGGAGGAGGAGUGGCCUGACACUUUGCCGGACUAGGUGGACUUGCAGGAGCGGUAGACUGCUGACUCGGUGGCGGACUUCGAUGAGGAGUCGGCUGACGCGGUGUCGGUGGCCUUCGAAAGAUGAUGCAAUCCUUUUUCCAUAGGAUGAUACGAUGUUUGGCAUCUCCGAGAAAGUGCUCGUCGUCACCUCUAGGAUAGUCAAGCUCUAGCUCCGAAUAUGGGUCCACCACCUCAUCAACCAAGACACGAGCAUAGCCCGCUGGAAUCGGGUUGCAAUGGAAGGUUGCCUUGGGGGGAUUUGUAAAAGCAAUGGCAUCCGCCACCUUCAUGGAUAUGUUCUUCAUUUUGACGUGUAGCUCGUAGCUAGUGUUCUCCAUGAUGUCAUCCACGGGGUAUCUACCCAGCAUUGCGUCAUCUGGGGCGGAACCCACGCUGCUUCUCGGCAUGGAUGGGGCAGUGCUAUCCAAUGCUGGAUCAUUCGCUAGCUGCUGCAGCUGCUGAGACCCCCUUUGCUGGGUAAGUGAGUCGAUCUGCUCCUGCUACCGCUGGAAUUUGACUACCAAUUCUGCUUGACUUGCUUCUAGGCCUUGAAGGCGUUCAUAGUCCCGCUUCCUCUGCUCCUCCUCCAUCUUCCUCUUCUUCUCCUCCGCAAUCUUCUUUCUCGCACGGGUUCUGUAGUCGGUGUUCCAGUCUGAAAACCCCUCAUACCAUGGAAUAGCGCCCUUGUCUCGUGUUCUUCCCGGGUGUUCAGGAUUUCCCAGGGCACGCGUAAGCUCGUCGUUCUCUCUAUUGGGCUGGAACACCCCCGAUCGUGCCUCUUCUAUUGCAACAAGUAUCGCAUCGUCGGCUCCCUUCAGACUUGCCCUCGUCGAAACAUUGCCUGUCUUCGGGUCCAACUCCCCCCCAUGCGCAUAGAACCAAGUCCUGACCCUGGGGGGCCAGCUCUUAGUAACCGGAGUGGCACCUGCAUCCUCCAUCUCUUUCUCAGACUUAUCCCACUUAGGCAUUGCCACCGCAUAGCCACCUGGCCCCAGCUUAUGGAACUUAUCCUUUUUUUCGGCAUUCUUCUUGUUUAUUCUCGACCGUUCCUUAGCUAAUUCCGAAUCCUUGAAUUUCACGAAAUCGUCCCAAUGAGCACGUUGGUUCUCUAGUGUUCCCUCGAAUACUGGAGUCUUCCUUCCUCCCUUGACGUACUUGUCCCAUUCACGAUUCUUGUGGUUCUUGAAUGCAACCGCCAUCUUCCUAAGAGCAGCGUCCUUGACUUUCUGCACAUCUGCUUCUGUGAAAUGAUCUGGUAGGGUGAAAUGUUCCAUGAGAGUAUCCCAAAGCAGAUCUUUUUGAUUCUUGUCGACAAAAGUAAAAUAUGGACGUGGAGCAGCAUUCUCUUUGCCUUUUUGUCUUUUGUCUUUUGCUGGCUCUCUCCAUUCUUGAAGGGAGAUCGGGAGUUGGUCCUUCACAAGAACUCCGUACUGACGAAUGAACUUGUCCGCAAUCUUCUUAGGCGCUAAUGGUUCGCCAUUAGGUCUGACUGCCUCGAUAUUAUACUUUACGCCCUCCUUCAACUUUUUGUUCGGGCCUUGUUUCGUCCUUUUGCCUGAAGAUUUGCUCGACCCGGAUGGCUGAAAGAACAAAGAUCGAUUCGUUAAUAUAUCUUCAAGUCAUUUAAAACAUGUGAUGAUCACCAGAUACCUGCUUAUAUAAAUAUAUAUACCUCGCCGGUCUUUGUUGUUUCAGGAUCAACAUGUUCUUCGUCAUCGUCAUAAUCGUAGUUCAUGACUUCAUCAAUUCGGUCGUCGCGAUCGAAUAUCAUAUCACCCUCUCCGGUGUUGUUUAGAAAUUCAGAGCCGUCAUAAUCUUCUUCAUUCUGAUCAUCAUCUGGCCCGCGUAUCAUAUCGAACAUGGUUUGUUCUCCCUCUCUGUCGGUAUUGUCUGCCAUAGCUUUUAUUUAACUAAUUCAAAAGAAAUAUAAAACAAUUUAGUAUUCAAAUUACAUCGUCUCGAAUAAUAGAUAUAAUCUCGAAUAUUUCGUCUAGAAUAAUAGAUAUAAUAUCAAAUACAUCGUCUCGAAUAAUAUAUAAUAUUAAAUAGUACAUCACUGGCUAGCUAAUUAAAGAUCGAAUACUACAGAAGAAUUUAGGACACUCGUGGUUCCUGCGGCGCGGGCGGUGGACACCCAAAGAGAAGGAACCCUCACAGGAUCAUAGCUGAAGUGAGAUCCCCGAAGAUACUGCCAGGUAUUGGAGAACCUGCCGCCCUCUAACGCAACCAUGUAGCGAUGGACAUGCUCGUCCUCCUCCCUGACACGGCGACGUACCACCUCCGGCGGGGCCGGGUCCCUCCGCACCGAAACUGGCCCACGCGAACGCCACCAAACGAGAUCAGGGUCGACGACGGGACCCGGGGCCGGGUUCCUCAUCAAGCGGCGCGCCCCUCCAGGCAGCACCUCCCAGUGCCAGCCCGGCGGAGCCCAGUCCCGGACAUGGGUCGGCUGGACGUCGUCGCGGACGGGUCGACGGCGAGGAUGCGGGCCGGGCAUCGUCGAGAACAAAUACUAGCUAUAUGCCUGCAAAAAGUAAUAAUUUUUUAAUGAUUGGAUUUUGAUAACUAAAAUUUCUAACAUUUCUACUAUUUCAAAAAUCUAUAUACUAUUUCAUACUAAUUAAGCAUCUAACACUAAAAAUAGAAAACACAACUUCUAUACAUCCAUUAUAAAACUGAAAAACAACAUUAUAUAAAAAAUUUCCAUACUAAUUAAACACUAAUUAUAUCCAUCUAACAUGCAUUCAUACAUAUAUAAUAGUGAAAAAAUAAUAAUCUAAACUAAUUAAGCAUACAAAAUACGUAUAUACUAAUUAAACACUAAAUAAUCUAAACUAAUUAAACAUACAAAAUACAUAUGUACGUGUGUGUGUGUGUGUGUGUGUGUUCAUGCAUGCUUGUGUGUGUGUGUAUGGGCUCGGGGAGGGGCGGCGCCCAUGGUGGCCGCCGNNNNNNNNNNNNNNNNNNNNNNNNNNNNNNNNNNNNNNNNNNNNNNNNNNNNNNNNNNNNNNNNNNNNNNNNNNNNNNNNNNNNNNNNNNNNNNNNNNNNNNNNNNNNNNNNNNNNNNNNNNNNNNNNNNNNNNNNNNNNNNNNNNNNNNNNNNNNNNNNNNNNNNNNNNNNNNNNNNNNNNNNNNNNNNNNNNNNNNNNNNNNNNNNNNNNNNNNNNNNNNNNNNNNNNNNNNNNNNNNNNNNNNNNNNNNNNNNNNNNNNNNNNNNNNNNNNNNNNNNNNNNNNNNNNNNNNNNNNNNNNNNNNNNNNNNNNNNNNNNNNNNNNNNNNNNNNNNNNNNNNNNNNNNNNNNNNNNNNNNNNNNNNNNNNNNNNNNNNNNNNNNNNNNNNNNNNNNNNNNNNNNNNNNNNNNNNNNNNNNNNNNNNNNNNNNNNNNNNNNNNNNNNNNNNNNNNNNNNNNNNNNNNNNNNNNNNNNNNNNNNNNNNNNNNNNNNNNNNNNNNNNNNNNNNNNNNNNNNNNNNNNNNNNNNNNNNNNNNNNNNNNNNNNNNNNNNNNNNNNNNNNNNNNNNNNNNNNNNNNNNNNNNNNNNNNNNNNNNNNNNNNNNNNNNNNNNNNNNNNNNNNNNNNNNNNNNNNNNNNNNNNNNNNNNNNNNNNNNNNNNNNNNNNNNNNNNNNNNNNNNNNNNNNNNNNNNNNNNNNNNNNNNNNNNNNNNNNNNNNNNNNNNNNNNNNNNNNNNNNNNNNNNNNNNNNNNNNNNNNNNNNNNNNNNNNNNNNNNNNNNNNNNNNNNNNNNNNNNNNNNNNNNNNNNNNNNNNNNNNNNNNNNNNNNNNNNNNNNNNNNNNNNNNNNNNNNNNNNNNNNNCCGGUACUAAAGGGGUCGCGCUGCCACCCCAAAGUUUAGUCCCACCUCGCCGGGCGAAGGGCAGCCGCACUGGUUUAUAAACCCAGCCACGGCUAGAACUUCGAACUCCUCUAUAUAGCUAGCAGGCUUGUGGGCCUAAACUCUGCGCGCUGCCCUGUGAGUCUGCUGGGCCUUUAAGGCCUGUAAUUACACACCUGUGGCCUAUCAGGCCCACAGGGCAGCACCCCAAUUUUUUGUCUGUCGGUAUCAUCCAAACAGUGCGUGCAUCCGUGGUAUCCCUUGUUUGUCUGUCCUGAAAGGUUACUGAGAGCAGGCCAAUCAUUGAUGGUCACGAACAGCAAUGCCUUUAAGUCAAAUUCUUCCUGUUUGUGCUAAUCCCAUGCACGUACACCUGUUCCAUUCCACAGUUGUAAGAGUUCUUCAACUAAUGGCCUUAGGUACACAUCAAUAUCGUUGCCGGGUUGUUUAGGGCCUUGGAUGAGCACUGGCAUCAUAAUGAACUUCCGCUUCAUGCACAACCAAGGAGGAAGGUUAUACAAACAUAGAGUCACAGGCCAGGUGCUAUGGUUGCUGCUCUGCUCCCCAAAAGGAUUAAUGCCAUCUACGCUUAGACCAAACCAUACGCUUCUUGCGUCAUCUACAAACUCCUUCCCGUACUUUCUUUCGAUUUUUCUCCACUGCGACCCGUCAGCGGCUACUCUCAACUUUCCGUCUUCCUUACGGUCUCCUCUGUGCCAUCGCAUCACCUUGGCAUGCUCUUUGUUUUGGAACAAACGUUUCAACCGUGGUAUUAUAGGAGAAUAUCACAUCACCUUGGCAGGAAUCUUCUUCCUGGGGCGCUCGCCCUCGACAUCACCAUGCUCAUCGCGGCUGAUCUUAUAGCGCAAUGCACCACAUACCGGGCAAGCGUUCAAAUCCUCGUACUCACCGCGGUAGAGGAUGCAAUCAUUAGGGCAUGCAUGUAUCUUCUGCACCUCUAACCCUAGAGGGCAGACAACCUUCUUUGCUUCGUACGUACUCUCGGGCAAUUUGUUGUCCUUUGGAAGCAUAUCCUUUAUCAUUACCAGCAACUUUCCAAAUCCCUUGUCAGAUACACCAUUCUCUGCCUUCCAUUGCAGCAAUUCUAGUGUGGUGCCCAGCUUUUUCUUGUCACCUACGCAAUUCGGGUACAACAAUUUUUUGUGAUUCUCUAACAUGCGCUGCAACUUCUUCUUCUCCAAAUCACUUGCGCAGUUUCUCUUUGCAUCGGCAAUGGCCCGACCUAGAUCAUCAACGGGCUCAUCUGAUGCCUCUUCUUCAUCUUCUUCCCGCAUUGCCGGCUCAGCUUCUUCCCGCAUUACCAGCUCAGCUUCUUCCCCCAUUGUUGUAUCAUCGUAUUCAGGGAACCCAUGGCCAGGAUAGCUGUCGUCGUCCUCUUCUUCUUCAUUGUCUUCCAUCAUAACCCCUCUUUCUCCGUGCUUGGUCCAAACAUUAUAGUGGGGCAUGAAACCGGACUCAAACAGGUGGACGUGAAUGGUUCUUGACGUAGAGUAAUUGCGACCAUUCUUACAGCCAGCACAUGGACAAGGCAUAAAACCACCCGCCCGCUUGUUUGCCUCAGCCGCAAGCAGAAAAGUAUGCACGCCCUCAACGAACUGGGGAGAGCAUCGGUCAUCGUACAUCCAUUGCCGGCUCAUCUUCAUUACACAACACCGAAUAGACCAAAUUAAUACAAGUUCAUACAACACUUAAAUGCAACAAACAAAUAACUCUCUAGCUAAAGCAUUUAAAUGCAACAACAAAUGCGAUCAAGAUCGCAACUAAGGUAACAAUUGAUCCAACAGCAUAAUGAUACCAAGCCUCACUAUCAAUGGCAUAUUUUCUAAUCUUUCUAAUCUUCAAGCGCAUUUUCUCCUUCUUGAUCUUGUGAUCAUCGACGACAUCGGCAACAUGCAACUCCAAUUCCAUCUUCUCCCAUCAAUUCUUUUCAAUUUUUCUUUCAAGUACUCGUUUUCUCUUUCAACUAAAUUUAACCUCUCGACAAUAGGGUCGGUUGGAACUUCCGGUUCACAUACUUCCUAGAUAAAAAUAUCUAUGUCAACUUGAUGGGCAUAAUUUGUCAUAAACACGAAAUGCAACAAAUAGUUUUAAAAGAGAAUAUACCACAUCCGAAUCAUAACAAGGACGAGGGCCGACGGGGACGGAUAUCAAAACCAUGGCACUAUGUAUAACAAAUAACAUACGGGUAAGAUAAUUAUUAUACGAGUAACUAUAUAUCCAAAUCACACAAACAUCAAUUUUUUAUAGAAAAUUUCAUGAACAAGAGGCUCACCACAAGGUGGUGCCGGCGACGGGACGGUGCGGGCGAUCGAUGGUGGUUACGACGGAGAUUUAGAAGGCACUAAGUAAACCACACCUACAUAUGCAAAAUAAGUGUUAUUUUAACCUCAAAUUGCAUAUAAAUCAAAUACUAGCACAUAUAUAUAUUUCCUCCCAAAUUACUAAACUCACAAAUUAAUAACUAUAUAAAGCAUUGCAAGAUCUAAUCUAGCAAUGAGAGAUGAAAGGACAAAGUUGCUAACCUUUGUGAUCAUUUGAAUGGAUGGGGGGCUUCAAAUCUUAACAAUUUUUGGGCAAAAUGUGUGAUAAGCUCGAGAGGAAAAGGGGAAGAACAGAGAGGAGAGGGGAAAGGGAAAGAACAGAGCGAGCUCGGGUGGAUGAAGGAUUUAUGUAGGACGACCUUUAGUACCGGUUCGUGCCAAGAACCGGUACUAAAGGUGCUGGAGGGGGCCCAGACUGACAACAUCCUGCCACCACUCUCAUUAGUACCGGUUCGUGGCACGAACCGGUGCUAAAGGUUAGCCACGAACCGGUACUAAUGAGAGCGGCCCGGCUAGCCGUUGGAACCGGCACUAAUGUAUACAUUUGUGCCGGCUCAAAUACAAACCGGCACUAAUGUGCUUCACGUUUGACCCUUUUUCUACUAGUGUUCGUAGGAUUUUUUUUUUUUGAUUUUCAUGCUUCGUUCCCCAUCACAAGAACGCUCGCCCGAGACUCCGUGCUCAUUGUGUCAGACACGGCGCCGCAGUCACUGUCCACCGUAAUCGUGAGGCACAAUGUAACUGUGUGUGUUAAGUGUACGGGUUAGCUCUUAAUCAUAUCCUGCGUAAACAAUCAAACACCGUGUGGCUGCGUUAGCCGAGCCAAUGCAGUUAACCAAACGCCAUGCUAAAAAUUUCUCUCCUAAGAGCAUCUACAGCAGGACCUCUCAAACACGCCUAAUACGCCCGGGCGGGCUGCCCGAUCGCUGUCCGGUCAUGUUUUUUCGACCCAGACAGACUCCUCAAAUGGGUCUCAAAAGCCCGGGCUGACCGACACCCCCAUAUCCAGCCCAAAUAUGGGGCGGAUAUGGGGGCGCCCGGGCACACCCGCCACGUCGGACCCGACCCAUGCUGACCCACCCGACCCCACUUAUAUUCGCCCUCAUCCGCUCAUCAGAGCAAACCCUAGAUACUUCACUCCACUCCACUCCCUUCCCCUCCCCUCAGCCACCUGAACUCGUCUCCAGCAUGGCAGGCAGCGGAUCGGACUCUGACCAGUCCGGAUCCGUCGACUGGGGUGUCAUCCCGUAUGGGUUGGAGGAGGCAAUGACAGUCCGCAUUGCACUCCGCCGCUACCGGGAGGACAACGCCCGGUGGACGGACAGAUCCGUCCGCCGCGACGCCAUAGCGUUGGCUCAUCGGGCACUGGGGUCCUCUGGUGCUGCAUCCUCGCGGUCCUGGUAGCCGGAACACCUCUCUUCCCUAUCACCUGUCAGGCAGACUAUGAGUCCCACCAGGUACGGGCGGCCUGCCGUAGGAACUAGAGGAUAAGGGCCGGCGAGGCCUGUAUCACGGCGGAAACGGCGGCAGCUGAUGCGGCGGUGCGGGCGGCCGCAGAGGAGGAAACCAUCUGCGCUCGCAUUGUGCAAAAACGGCAGCGGAGGAACACGCGCGCCCUCGCCCGGGAGCAGAAUCAGGCGGUCCGUGCCAUGGCUGGACUGCCAACGAAGGGGGACAACGACGGCGAGGACAGCUCCGGCGACGAGCAGAUCCGGCUCAAUCUGUACUGCGUCUUCGACCGAUACUUCCGCAAGAAGGACGGCAAGGGCGCCGGGAAGGGCAAGGGCAGCCGUGGAUGAAUUCCAUCGUAGCCAAACAUGCCAAAUUUUGGUAGCCCGAUGGCAUGUUUUGUGUAGUGUGAUGAAGUAGGCGGACAAUGGGUGUGCAUCGACGUAAUUGCAUGAGUUUGUAUGGAUUUGAGAUAUGGUAAUUAAGAUGUCUGGAUAUGAAUUGCAUUUUUUAAGGAGUGACCGAUCAGUACCCGCGGACACAUUCGGGCGCGUCAGCGGGCGUUUGAGGGGCCGUAUGUGCCAAGUCCCGUUGUAGAUGCCCCUUAUCCCCGCUUUUCCCUCUUUCUUUCUCUUGAUCGGUUGGUGGCGAAAUGUCCGAAGGUGCGAACCUACCACUAGUAGUUUCCCGGCAGGGAACGACGCCGGCGGAAGUAGCGAACCGCUCGCGGAGUUUGCCGGGUUUUGCUGGCGGAAAACUGGGAGCGCCAAAACGGAGGGCACACCGCACUCCUCUCGCGCACAUGCUGCUCCUGGUCUAGUGUUAUCCUACGCACGCUCCCUGCCCUGCCAACCCAGAUCGAUCGAUGACUCCUCUUAUCCAGUUGCAGUUGCGUGGAGUGCACGUGAGAUGGUUUUUGUAUGACCAACGAGGCACGGGCGGCGCCACCUGUGCUCUGCCGCAGCGCCGACCGACCCCGCCCGCCCGCCCGCCGGUAUCGCCAGCUCGCCUGAACCACCGCCCAGAACCACGGUCUCGCUUCCCUUCCCACCGUAUCAAAUCGUCUUCUUGCGCGCACGCCGGUUGCCGGUUUCCUGCAGCCUAUAUAAAUCCGGCCACAACACAUUUCCUAUCCAUCUCUUCUCACACUGUCACAGUCACACUACUACUGCUCAUACUUCACUGCUUCUACCAGUUCACAUCAUUCGGAUCUCAGGCCAAGAUGUCGACGGUAAACCGCGCCGACCUCGACCAGAGGCUCGCCGCCGCCAACCGCUGCUCCAGAGGUAACAAAAUCGCUAUCUUGCUCCGCCGGUCCUCCAAGGCACAUUGCAGCUUUCUGUACUGUCUCUGCUGAAACUUGAUCCUAACUACUAUGUCUCUGUUGAUCCGGAACUGCAGAGGCUGCCAUGGCGGGAGCCAAGGCUGCCGCCGUCGCCACCGUCGCUGCCGCAGUCCCCACCGUGAGUACUUCCACUGAAACACAACCAUUCACCCUGCACCAUAAGUACAUUUAUUUAUCUCAUCCGUGCGAUUUUUGUUGCCUUUCUCCGCAGCUGGCGAGCGUGAGGAUGCUGCCGUGGGCAAAGGCGCACCUGAACCCUACCGGGCAGGCCCUGAUCAUCUCCACCGUCGCCGGAAUGGCCUACUUCAUCGUCGCCGACAAGACCAUCGUUUCCAUGGCCAGGAAGCACUCCUACGAGGACGCGCCGGACCACCUCAAGAACACCUCCUUCAACUAGUUAGACAGUAGAUCCAUUAGUAGUAAAUAGUGCGAAAUAAACUGCACGCCGGCCUGCAACUACAAGUGUCUGCGGAUUCAACUAGGGAGGCGAUCAGGCGAGGCUUGCAGGCCUACUGCUCUUCUCUGCGUGCGAGAACUUAUCUGAUGAAGUAAUCAUCAUGUAUCCAGCCAGUCAUCUUGAAUUAAUAAUAACUUGCAUUUGUACAACUCAGGUUUACCCAUCAUCACCCAUCUUACAUUUUCUUGUUUGUGGUUAUCAUUUGACAUGUGCCAGUGUCAGAGCAUGCAGAACACUGAAGUAAGGCCAACUCCACCGCGUGACCCAUCUGUGACCCAUCCGGACGUCCGAUUUUGUCCGUAUGGGUAGCGAAAAAGCGGACGUCCGGCCCCCGGACAGUGCUCGAACGCAUCCGCGCCCAGCGCGUCCAGGACCCAAACAUGUCCGUCCCGCCCAGCUUCGUCGCCUCCUCCUGCAGGACCAGCCCGCGCCCUGGUGGCCGGCGCCGCACGCACCCCGCCCGGCCUGCGCCCCGGGGGCUGGCGCCGCNNNNNNNNNNNNNNNNNNNNNNNNNNNNNNNNNNNNNNNNNNNNNNNNNNNNNNNNNNNNNNNNNNNNNNNNNNNNNNNNNNNNNNNNNNNNNNNNNNNNNNNNNNNNNNNNNNNNNNNNNNNNNNNNNNNNNNNNNNNNNNNNNNNNNNNNNNNNNNNNNNNNNNNNNNNNNNNNNNNNNNNNNNNNNNNNNNNNNNNNNNNNNNNNNNNNNNNNNNNNNNNNNNNNNNNNNNNNNNNNNNNNNNNNNNNNNNNNNNNNNNNNNNNNNNNNNNNNNNNNNNNNNNNNNNNNNNNNNNNNNNNNNNNNNNNNNNNNNNNNNNNNNNNNNNNNNNNNNNNNNNNNNNNNNNNNNNNNNNNNNNNNNNNNNNNNNNNNNNNNNNNNNNNNNNNNNNNNNNNNNNNNNNNNNNNNNNNNNNNNNNNNNNNNNNNNNNNNNNNNNNNNNNNNNNNNNNNNNNNNNNNNNNNNNNNNNNNNNNNNNNNNNNNNNNNNNNNNNNNNNNNNNNNNNNNNNNNNNNNNNNNNNNNNNNNNNNNNNNNNNNNNNNNNNNNNNNNNNNNNNNNNNNNNNNNNNNNNNNNNNNNNNNNNNNNNNNNNNNCCGAGCGGGGCGCUGCUGCUGCAGAUCCUGAACAUGGGGGGCGUGCCUCAUCCGCGAGCACGGCGGCGGGCGCAGGGCGAUGGCGGGCGCGGGGCGACGGCGGGCGCGGCGGCGGGCGCGGGGCGUGCGACGGCGGACACGGCGGGCGGCCGGCAGCCGACGAGGGAGCAACGAGAGCAACGAGGUCGGGAGUGGCUCGGUGUGGGUCGCUGACCUGUGGGCCAGUGGCGGACACGAGCGGACGAGAGAGGCCGAGGAGCGCGUCCGUCUGUGUCCAUUCAGACCCAUUUGUGACCCAACUUUGGUCUAGAUUUGGGGUUGGGCCGGACUGAAACGGACACCAGCGGACAACUUUGUCCGUUUGAAUAUUACCGCUGGGUCGUAUUUUACCUCAAACGGACAAAAGCGGACCGGAUGGGUCACGGAUGGAUCGUGCGGUGGAGUUGGCCUAACUCUGCAUUCUUUGACCCCCUAAUCCUCCCCUGUUUCGCAAUGCACAUCGGGUUCAAGCCACCUCACUUGUUAAAUCUUUUGAUCAGGUUUAAUGGAUGCCAUGGCAAAUAUGGGAAGUUUUUAAAGAAACAAGGAAAAUAACCCUUAGAGCAGACGUGCAUCUAUAUCAUAGUUUUAAAUAGCCGGCUAUAGCCUUUUUAGCAAGAUGCCGCUAAAUAGCCGCCUUCACAAAUAGCCCGCUAUAGUCUGCUAUAGCCUGCUAUAACUCUGCUAUAGCUGAUUUGAAGGCCCGCCGUUAUUUUUUGUAGCCCGCUAUUUAAAACAUUGAUCUAUAUCUAUACCAAUACAAAAAGACCCAAGGGGCAUAUCCAAUUAAUAUCGGCCAUCAAAUCAUGUCAAUCCAACGACAUAUACUGCUUUAAUGUCGAGCGCUCAACAAGUUUAGCGUGCAGUUAAUUUCAUGCCAAAUAUAGUGCUAAUCACAUAAUAACACAUAAAUAAUAUCCUACUUAAUAUCCACAUGCGCUUAAUAUACUUCCAAAUUAACGUACAUGCACAUUGACUAGUUUUAAACAAAGGAAAGAACAACAAUCCCUCUUGUGCCUUAAGCACGGAUCAUGUACCUCCACUACCACCCCCACGAUCUAGAAUAAGGGUUUGCGCAUAGGACAAAAAUGUUUCAUGGAUAAUCCGGUCACGAUUUUUUCAGCCAGACGGGCCUCUCAAACGACCCUCAAACGCCCAGGAUGAUUGGCACCCCCAUAUCUAGCCCAAAUAUGGGGCGGAUAUGGAGGCAUCCGGGCCCGCCACCCAUGCCAGACCCGGCCCAUGCUGGCCCACCCAACCCUAAAAUCUUCCCCAUCCGCUUGUCGGACCAAUCCCUAGCCACUUCACUCCUCUCCCCUCCGCCACCCAAGCUUGCCUCAGGCUCCUUUCGGUCGUCUCCGGCAUGGUGGGCAGCGGAUCCAAGUCCUUCACCUCCAAAUCCGUCGACCCCGAGCUCAUCCCGCGCGGCCCUGAGGAGGAGAUGGCCGUCCGGCUUGCGCUUUGCCGGGCCCGGGAGGAGGCCCGUGGACGGCUGCUCGGACUCCAUUCGUCGGGAAUCCAUUGCCUCUGCCCAAAUGGGGCAUGGAUCCGACGCUAGGCCGGCCGUAGCUGCCUCUCCGGAGGCCGUAUGUGCGAUCCGUCUGGCAUCCGAAUGCGCUGGAGGACGUGCAACCCCUCCGAUAUUGGGGACGCACCUUCGUCCCAUGAGUCCACGACAGUGCAUGCACGCCGUGCAAGGCACCGGGCACGGGAGGCGGCGACAACCCUCGUGGCGGCGGACGUCGGCGAGGCGGAGUCGCAUUCUUCGGCUCCCCAUAUGGCGCAUUAGUUCGGGCGCCGCAACAACAUCGUGGUGGACAUCGGUGGCUUGUUCCUGGACGGAUCCAUCAUCGAUCUGACAUCCACCGGCACCAUUCGAGUUUCGGUCUCCGACGAGGAAGAGUAGGGCAUGGGAGAUGGCGGGGCCUUGAGCCCCAUGAGCCAACUCGUGUCCCAUGCCCUACCCUACCUUGCUGGCGACCGGACCAACACACUAAGGAGCGCAGCCGACCGCCAGACAUGGCCAGGGCGGAGCCGGGCGAGCGGGGAGCGGAACCUGAAGAGAUAUGCGUAGAUUAGGUUUCAUGUUGCAUGUGAUAAUAUGAAUUUGAGGUUUCCAAAUGCGGAAUUCGUUUUUCAAGGGGUGACCGGUCACUGACGCGGGGGUCGGAUUUGUCAAGCCCGGUUGUAGAUGCUCUUAGGGCAUCUCCAACACAGACCAACAAAUUUCUCCAGCAUAUGUUCAUUUGUAUGUCCGAAUGUGGUAUGUGGACAUGAUGCGGGAGGGAGUCAUCUAAUGAUAAUCACAAAGUAUCCAGUUGGGACGAGAAAAAAGUAGGUGGGAUCAUGCAUGUAGUGGGAUAUUUGUGUUUUGAAGUCCAGUUAGGAGGAGAGAGAAGAGGGAGGCCAUGCAUGUGCGGUUGGAAGGAGAGAGAUAAGAGGGUGACCAUGCAUGUGGUUGGUCAAGUGCAGGUCCGGACUCCACCAAAGCCCCCCAUGUUUGUCUCUGGGAUACUAGAAUCCGUACGCCCAAACUGCUAAGCAGACAUAUAUAGGUCCUCGUUGGAUGGCAAAAGUGGUCCAAACACUCCGAUCUGGACAUGUAGUGAAGGUUUGAGUGUCCACCUUAAAGAUACCCUUAAUAGAGCAACCGUGCACCAGCGACCCUAUCCCAGUUUAGAACUAUCUUCCCUUUGAUCAAUCCUUUGAAGUUCAGAAUGUGCUUGAGUUCCAUCUCCAUUUUCUCAUGGAUGUUGACAUCAUCAUCAACACAGCAUGUUCGUAGUCCGAUUUUGAUGAACUAAUGAACUCUUUUUGAAUGAAUUCAUCAACCUCCUGGUCUGUAUACUCCUCAUCCUACCAGACUGACAAAUCCAUCAUUUUGCCUAUAAAAGAAUCCAAAAAAACUGCUUAGCCAUUAUUGAACACAUUGAGGGCAAAGGUGUAUGACUGGAGGAGCGGGACAUAAAUCGCGGGGGCGAAAAUGGCAGGGAGGAGUUUUGUGGUGGUGAUGGUGAUGUCAACACUGUGGGGUCAUAAUGGUGGCGAAGCUGGGGUGGUGAUGAAGCUAGGGAAGGGACGUUGUUGACGAGGGAGAAAAGAGAAGACAAAAAUGGUAGGCCUACCUAGGCCGAGGUGAUUUGAUGAAAUUUUGUGGUGGGUCUUGUUUGUCGGAUCCGACGUGGCGGACAUGUCAGAGCCUCCCCAUAACCGUUUCAGAUAUGGGCUAGAUAUGAUGGGUGCCGGUUGGCACGGAUGUAUGGUUGAGGGAGCCGGUUGGGUUGUUAUUUCUUGAACCCGUCCGCUAGACAUACAAAUCCGAUAUAAAGGGUAUGAUACAAAGCCAAUAUGAAGGAUCUGGUUGUAGAUGCUCUAAGCAUUGAACACGAAGGUCUCGCAUUCACUAAGCUGCGCAAAGGCAACCACUGCAAUGUUAGUGUAUUCUUAGUUAAAGGCAUCUUCAAUGUUGACCCACAAAUUUUCUCCCGCAUCCAUCUCGAGACAGAGGAACUAGUCCGUGGACACGGAUGCAGGAGCCACAUACAUUUCAAGCCGGAUUUUCACAAACCGGACGACAUUCAUCAAAUCCGACGGAAUUAAUCAAAGUUCAGAUAGAAAAUAGCGCAAGUGAUUCAUACAUAGCAUGCAAAUAAGCCUAGUACAACAGUAGUUCAAAUUCAACGAGCUUGACCGGAUGUUCAACAAGUUUUUCAUGAAUAGAUCAUGUCGUCACACAUACUGCGGCUUCAGCUUCAUCCAACAGUGUGGGUACGUAAAAGGUUGUCCCUCUAUCCUAUGGUACAUCAUGGCGGCACUUUCGGGACAAUGUAUAGACCAACAUUGAGUGAGCAAAUGAUUCAACCAACAAGUUGAGCAAGAAUGGCCAAUGGCCACAUUACGGUACGACCUCCUCCGCUGCUGAACCCAAUGGCCACAUUGCCUCUAGCCGAGUAACCGCGUCACAACACUUGGUGAUGGUAGUCUAGACGGCGUACCAUCGAUACGAUAACGACUGCACAUUGAGAUCAUGGAUGAUGUGUAUGCAUGUCAUAGGGCGCAAUGUGCUUUCGCGCGUGAAACGAAUCAUGCACGCGCUGCUAGAAGAUCCCUCUUCUACUCCAACUCCGUGCGUAUGGCCAACCACGCAUCGCACAACAACUCAUCCUCUAUGGUUGAGUACCCCCACUUUGCUUCCAAUUUGCGGGGAAAAGUGACUCCCGGCCGGUCAGCGGACCGAUACACGCAUUGGAUGGCAAAACACAUCCAAACCGCACAGUUCAAAUGUGUGCGGACGGUUUGAGGGUCGGUGUUGGAGAUGCCCUAAAAUGAGUAGUUAUGCCUAGCUCAAAUAAAUUUAAAUUGAGAUUUAAACUUCCUUUCAGAAUUUUGAGCGGUAUCCACUCGGUUUUAUUCGGUAGCCGCAUCUUUUGCCCCCUCUUGGCAUUUGUUCAUUAUAUUUGGUAGCCAUGACCUUGGCCGGGGUCGAGAUUCAUGAUGACGCGAGGUGUACGGUGGUUGUGCGAUCGGUUAUUUGAACGGGGGACCAACUUUAUAUUUCUCGGCAACCAAGGUGAUGAACGAAGACAACCAACAUGUAGUUGGAUGGUUAGGAGGAUAGGAAUAUUUUCAGCCCAUCAGGGUUCAAGUCAAUUUUCGGCGAUGUGUGUUCAGUGGAAGAAGACGUUCCAUGGUGACUUCGAGUGUAUGCUUGUAUAUUUGAGCGCUUAUAUCUAUAGUGUUUUAAAAAAAAGUUGAUCAACGAAGGAUUUGAAGCAAAGCAGUCGCGGAAUUGCGGAAUUGGAUUGCUGCCGGGUUGGACGAAAACAGGGAGCGCCCACACAGAUCUCCAACAAAACGGAGGGCACACUCACGCACAUGCCCCUACGUGUUAUCCUACGCACGAACACGCUCCUUGGCUCCCUGCCGUGCAGUGGUCAUCAAAAAGUAUCAGAGGCGAGUCACUUGGAUUAGUUUUUAUAUGCGGACCAAGGAGGCGGUGUCAUCUGUGCUCUGCCGCAGCGCAGCGCCGGCCAUCCCGCACGCCCGCCGCUCGUCUCAAAACCACGGUCUCGCUUCCCACCGUAUCAGCUCGCCUUCCUCUCCGCGCGCACGCCGGUUUCGCGGUUUCUUGCAGCCUAUAAAUCCGGCCGGAGCACCCAGCUCUGCACCAUCCCAUUUCACACAACCGCUACUCAUCUUACCUGACACACUUCACUUCCUUCGGAUCUCGUGCCACCAAGCUCUGCUCCCGCCAAGAUGUCGACGGUGACCCGCGCCUACCUCGACCAGAGGCUCGCCGCUGCCAAGCGCUGCUCCAGAGGUAACCAAAACGAUAUCAUGGCCUGGCGCGCCCGUUCACCAUGCCGGCAAUGCUCUUGCUGCUCUGUUCCAAGUACUACAUUGCAGCUUUGUGUAGUACUGUCUGUGCUGAAACUUGGUGUUGAUUAACAUCCCUGUGUUGGUUCGAAACUGCAGAGGCUGCCAUGGCCGGAGCCAAGGCCGCGGCCGUCGCCACCGUCGCCGCCGCAGUCCCCACCGUAAGUACACAUUGCUCAGCCGGCACAGCUAGUUGCAAGGACGAACAAUCAGCUCACCAAGUUCUUCGUCCGUUCCUUUCUCUGCAGCUGGCGAGCGUGAGGAUGCUGCCGUGGGCCAAGGCGAACCUCAACCCGACCGGGCAGGCGCUCAUCAUCUCCACGGUCGCCGGGAUGGCCUACUUCAUCGUCGCCGACAAGACCAUCCUGUCCAUGGCCAGGAAGCACUCCUUCGACGACGCGCCAGACCACCUCAAGAACACCUCCUUCCAGUAAUUACGCUAUAAUAGCUCCAUUAAUAGUGCGUAAUAAACCGUGUACGCCGGUCGGCCUGUACAUGUCUGCUGAUUCAGCUAGGGAGGCGAUCAGGCGAGGCUUGCAGACAGUGAGUGGUCUACUGCGCUUCUCUCCGAGCAAGCACUUAUCUGAUCAAGUAAUCAUCAUGUAUCCAACCAGUAAUUUUGAAUUCAUAAUGACUUGUAUUUGUACAACUCAGGUUUACCCACCAUCCUUGUUCGUGGUUGUCAUUUGACAUGUGGCCAGUGGCAGAUCCUGCACAAGACCGAAAUAACACUGCAUUCUUCGACCCCCUAUCCUCACUUCUUAAAUCUUUUGAUAAGGUUUAAUAUAUGGCGUGGCAAAUAUGGAAAGUAUUUAUAAAGAUAAAAAAGGAAAAUAAUCCUCAGAACACAUGUGCAUUUUAACAAAGGACAGAACGACAAUCCCUCUUGUGCCUGAAGCAUAGAUCAUGUACCUCCACUCCCACCCCCACGCGUUAGAAUAAGGGUUUCGCAUACGACAAAAAAUGUUUCAGGAAUGUUGAUCUGGUUUGAAAGUAGUACUAAUAGAGCACUCGUGCGCCAGCGACCCUAUCCCAGUUUAGAACUCUCUUCCCUUUGAUUAGACCUUUGAAGUUCAGAAUGUACUCCAAUUCCUCCUGGAUGUUGAUCAUCAUCAUCAACUUUGCAUCUUUGUUGUCCGAUUUUGAUGAGUCGAUGAAUUAUUUUUUAAUGAAUUCAUCAAGCUCCUAUUCAUUAUACUCAUCAUCCAACAAAUCAAUCGUUUUGCCUAUAAAAGAAUAAAAGAAACUGCUCGGACAUUAUUGAACGCAUAGAUGGCAAGGUGUAUGACGGGAGGAGCGGGACAUAUUGCGGCGACGAGGAUGGCAGGGAGGAGUUUUGUGGCGGUGAUGCUGUCGCUUUAGGGUCAGGACAGUGGCGAAGCUAGGGAAGGGCCAUCGUGGACGCUGGAGAAAAGAGGAGAGAAAAUGGGCAGGUCUAGCUAGGUUGAGGUGAUUUGAUGAAAUUUAUGGUGGGUCCUGUCUGCCGGAUUCGACGUGGAGGACACGUCUGAGCCUCCCCAUAUCCACCUCAGAUAUGGGUCGGAUAUGAGGGGUGCCGGUCGGCCCGGACGCAUAAGACUAAUUUGAGGAAGUCAGCUGACUUCCUGUUUCUUGAGCGGUCAGUGACUGAAUCAUCCGCCCAAACAUAUAAAGCCAAUAUAAAGGGUCCGGUUGUGGAUGCUCUAAGCAUUCAACACUAAGGUCUCGCUCUGCUGAGGUGUGCAAAGGCAAGCACCGCGAUGCUAGCGGAUUCCAACUAAAAUGAGUAUAGCACAAAUAAAUUUGUAUUUGAAAAUUUCGAACAGUGUCCAGUUGGUAUUUGUGGGUAAAUAUGUUUCUCGCCCCCUCUUGGUAUUUUUUUGGGUAUUGGCAAAACCUUGGUGAGGGUCGAGAUUCACGAUGAUGGGAGAUGUAUGGUGGUUGUGCAAGCGGUGACGGGGCUAGCUAGUGAAAACAUUUUACGUUAUUUGAAUAGGUGAUCAACUUUAUAUUUUUCCGGUGAUCAAUAAAAGAUUUGCAGGGUGAACCAACCUGUGAUUGGAUUGUUAGGAGAAUAAUGGUAUCUCCAGCCCAUUAAAGUUAAAGUCCUGGUGCUGGUAUUUAUCCUGAAUUUAUUUCAGGAUUAUCUAUGAUGCACGUUCAGUGUGAGGAGACGUUUCUGUCGAUUAUAAGGAUCGGAAGAUGAUAUGCCGCCCGGGUGUGCGUGUGUUCAUCUGGCGCCGGAGUGCGUUUGCGCGUCGAUAUGAACGCUUGCGUUUGCACUGUGUUAAAAUUUUUUUUUGCAGCAAACCGCUCGCGGAAUUGGAUUGCGGCCGGGUUGGCCAAAAAACAGGGAGCACCCAGACCAGACAGAUCGCCAACAAAACGGAGGGCACACUCACGCACAUGCUCCUACGAUGCAGCACCUACGCACGAACUGGGACACGCUCCCUGCCAACCCCGAUCGAUCCAUCCACGCCUUAUCUUUACCUAUACUAGUUGCAGUGCAGUGGUCAUCAAAAAGUAUCAGAAAAAGUAUCAGAGGCGAGUCACGUGGGAUGGUUUUUAUAUGCGGGCCAUCUGUGCUCUGCCGCGUCGCCGGCCAUCCUCUGAAACCCACGGUCUCGCUUCCCACCGUAUCAGCUCGCCUUCCUCUCCGCGCGCACGCCGGUUUCGCGGUUUCUUGCAGCCUAUAAAUCCCGCCGGACCACCUCGCUCUGCCCAUCUCAUCUCAUCUCACACACCACUACUCAUCUUACCUGACGCAGUUCACUGCUAGCCAAUUCACUUCUCGUACCACCAACCUCCCUCGCCAAGAUGUCGACGGUGACCCGCGCCUACCUCGACCAGAGGCUCGCCGCCGCCAAGCGCUGCUCCAAAGGUAACGGUUCCGGCCUCAGGCCAGCACCUGCUCUGCUCGUAUAUCCCACUCAUUGCAGGUCAUGUGUGUGCUGAAACUUGAUCUUGAUUAACAUUCCUAUCCGAAACUGCAGAAGCUACCAUGGCGGGAGCCAAGGCCGCGGCCGUCGCCACCGUCGCUGCCGCAGUCCCCACAGUAAGUAGCCAGCUAGCCAUUCAGUUCUUCCAUGGUUCAUAGCAUGUCUCAUGAGUGCGUUACCUGUCAUUUCAGCUGGCGAGCGUGAGGAUGCUGCCGUGGGCCAAGGCGCACCUGAACCCCACCGGGCAGGCCCUCAUCAUCUCCACUGUCGCUGGGAUGGCCUACUUCAUCGUCGCCGACAAGACCAUCCUCUCCAUGGCCAUGGCCAGGAGGCACUCCUUCGAGGACGCGCCGGAGCACCUCAAGAACACCUCCUUCCACUAGUUAGAUCCAUUAUUAGUAAUGCCCAAUGAACCGUGUAUGCCAAAGUGCAUAGCGUACAGUGAUCAGCAAAGGGAGGUCAUAAUAUAAUUUUCAUCAUGCAAGUAGCCAUGUACAGCAUCUUUUGAGCUAGCAAUACUGAAAGAUGUACCAGCAUUUGUUAACCAAUAUUUUCCAGCUACCGGCUAUUUUGAUGAGUCAGUCAGAUUAUAUAAAAAGUUAAGCAACCUCAAGCUGACGUUUAGUUUAAUCUUGUUGGCUCGCUGCCACCCACGUGACACAUCGACUUGAUCAGCGACAACAUAUAGUAAACCUCAGAUCCUAGUUUCUAGUUAGCAAAUUCAGCGACAGUGCCGUUUUGAUCCAAGGUGAUCCCAGAAAGAUGCCGAAAUUUCUCAGAGGGGGAUAUUUACACACCAUGCAUCAUGUCAAAAAUCAGUGUUACAUCUCCAUUGCUUGCUGCCACUGAUCUCCCCGGAAUAUAUAGUUGUUUAACUAUCAAUAACUCAGUCCACACAACUGAAUCGUCAUGUUCGUGUUCAAUUUGGCAAUUCCCCUGGCGAAUCACAUAUCUUGCUUUGUAUAUGCAUAUGUGAUGUAUAUAUAUGUUUUUCGGAAAUGUUAACGCCCACACGUGUGGGCGUUUACAUCUCGCCCACAAGCGUGGAUCCGCGUCCGUUUGUGAGCGCACGAAUCUUGGCAUGUUUUUAGUGCCACGUAGGACUGGCCUGGUGUGUGGGCGUUCAUCCGGUCGCCCACACGAUCGUUUCACCACACGGGAGGGGCUGGUGUGUGGGCGUUCAACAGUUCGCCCACACGCCACUUUCCAUGCACGCACAAGGGCUAGUAUGUGAGCAUUUAUCAUCUCGCCCACACGCCAUCUUCUCUUCCACACCCAAGCUGCUAGUUGCCAUAUGUUAUGCAACGCACAUGGCAACUGCCCUAGUGUGCUUUGUAAGCAGGUGUCAACUCUCUUUUUACCCGAGUUGACAUGUGUUUUGCAGGGUACACGGCAACUGCCUAGUGUGCACGUAAGCAGAUGACAACUCUCUCUUUACCGAGUUGCCAUGUGUUUUUGCAUGGUAUAUGGCAACUGCCCUAACGUGCACGUAAGCAGAUGACAAUUCUUCCUUUUUACAUGGCAACUGCCCUAGUAUGCUUGUGAGCACAUGGCAACUCUCUCAACUGCCUAGUGGUAGUAUGUGGCAACUCCUAAAGUUUUGAAAUCAUGACAACUACAAUAGACCAGACCAUACAUGGCAACUGUAGUUGAGCAACCAUGGCAACUGCAGUUGUCCGACAUGGCAACCGUAGUUCAGCGACAUGGCAACUGCCCUAACGUGCACGUAAGCAGAUGACAAUUCUUCCUUUUUACAUGGCAACUGCCCUAGUAUGCUUGUGAGCACAUGGCAACUCUCUCAACUGCCUAGUGGUAGUAUGUGGCAACUCCUAAAGUUUUGAAAUCAUGACAACUACAAUAGACCAGACCAUACAUGGCAAACUGCAGUUGAGCAACCAUGGCAACUGCAGUUGUCCGACAUGGCAACCGUAGUUCAGCGACAUGACAACUGCAGUUAAACGAACAUGGACGAGGGUCUGGACCAUGGCAACUGCGGGCGCGCGGUGACUUUCACGCUGGGCGUGCGGGACCACGAGGUACGAGGCCUGACAUACGGGGCGUAUGGGCGUUAUCUACUUCGCCCACACGCACGCGUGUGAGAGGGAUCGGGAGGGAAAAAAAGAUGUGUGUGGGCAUUACUUGUUUUGCCCACACGUAGAUAUGUGGACUGUUUUUCUUAUACACCACACAAAAUGUGUGGGCAGUCUCCCUAACGCCCACACGUGUGGCACUUAUCGGCGUCCAUGUUUUUUUCAUGUGUACUUACCUUAUACAUAAAUUGAAGUGAAUGGCAGACAUGAACAUGUGAUGUAUAUAUGUUUUUGUCAUGAACAUGAUGACAUUGGUGUGAAAGUGAUCACAAUUUAGUUUACCUAACUUUGUAAUAAAUCAGUGUAAAUAUUUGCACGACACCAAAAUUAUUUCCGAUCUCACCAAAAGAUCCGAAAUUUAUAAGAUUUAGAAUUUAUAUAGAACCAGUUAGUCUAAAAUUCUUUGGAUUUGAACAACGUUAGUCCAAUUAUGACACGGUUCCCAUAGAAGUCAUCUUUUGCUACAUAAUUUUCUUUUGCUAUUUCAUCUUUACAAGAAGGAUUGGACGCGCUUUGCUUUGCUGUUGUUGGAUUUCACAAAGAUAAUUUUUGGUUUGGCGUGGGAGAAAGAUGAUGGAGUGUUUUUUUAAUGUGGUUCUCAGUGAGAUUUGUUAGCGGUGUGAUUAUAUGUUAUUUUCUAAUCAACAAAUACUUAUGUGGGGAAGUCCCGGUCCAAUUUUUUAUACUUAUGUUGGCAAGUUUUUUGCGUUGGUAGCCUCAUGUAUUAUAUUGGUGCCAUGGUGUCACAUGCUGGUGCUUCUUUUUUUAGAUGGUGAGAGGUGCACAACACAUGAUUAGUGUGUUUUUACGAGCUGGUUGUUGUCAAUUAAUUUGAGAAAUCAUUAACCCCGUCAAAAUCAUGAAUCAAAAUCCAAAAUUAAAUACCUCAACCAAAUGAAAGAGCAUGUUCAGAAAUAGUUGACCUAAUCAAAAUCAUAAAUCAAAGUCAGAUUUUAAAACUUCAAUUCAGUAGGAGGGAUCCAAAAUUAAAGAGCAUAAAUGAUAGCUAGUAAAAAACCUUUACGUUAUUUGAACUAGACGAUACCCCGCGCGUUGCUACGUAACUUUGUUAAAAAAUGCAGAGAUAGUUGCUAGAAAAUAUUCACAUCCAAUGAAAAGGAAAUAUUAGUUUGAAAAUCAAUAAAAGAAAGUCUCCAAAAACAGAAUAUAAAUUUUGGAAUUACUGCUAAAAAUAUCAUUUCGAACAAACAGGUAAAGGAUGACUACCAUGCAUGCAUGAUGUGGCAACGUUAUAUGCAUAGAGUAAUGCAAAAAUUAUUGCAAUUUAUUAGUUCGCUUAUGUGGUAGAUUUUGCAUGGCUUAGUGGGAGAGAAGACUUAAAUGCAUGGUCUUGGUGAUGGUAGUCUGGAUGGCGUACCAUCGAUACGAUAACGACUGCACAUUGAGAUCAUGGAUGAUGUGCAUGUCAUGGGGAGCAAUGUGCUUUUGCGCGUGAAACGAAUCAUGCACGCGCUGCCAGAAGAUCCCUCUUCUGCUACAGCCUAUGAACUCCGUGGAUAUGGCCAACCACGCAUCGCACAACAACUCAUCCUCCAUGGUUGAGUACCCCCACCAUUCUUUGUGGACUAAAUAAACAAAAUGCCAUUCAAAAAUAAGCUCAAUUAUAUUUGACCAAACACCUGUCAGGCAUGGUGUCAGCCAUGGACGUCGUCGACGGGUCCUGGAUGGACGGCGCCAUUGUAAAAGGUGAGCGGGCGUGUCGGUGCUGCUUGCGUAUGUCUGGCAAUGCCUGUGUGGCGGCCGGAGAGGUACAACGACAACGUCGGAGAAGGAGGAAGCAAUGGGGAGAAGGGGCGGCUUGGAAGAAAAUGUGACCGGGAGGAGGGAGGGGGGUAGUGGCCGGGGAUUCGGAGCCCUACGUGCCUGCUGUCUGGACUCCCGCACCCUCCCCACUUUGCUUCCAAUUUGCGGGAAAAAGUGCCUCUGGACCGAUCGUGAGACCGAUACACGCAUUGGAUGGCAAAGCACAUCCGAACUCUGCAGUUCGAAUGUGUGCGGGCGGUUUGAGGGUCGGUGUUGGAGAUGCCCUAAAAUGAGUAUAACACAUAGUUAUGCCUAGCUCAAAUAAAUUUAAAUUGAGAUUUAAACUUCCUUUGAGAAUUUUGAACGGUAUGCGGUUAGUUUUAUUCGGUAGCCACAUCUUUUUCCCCCUCUUGCCAUUUGUUCGGUAUAUUUGGUAGCCAUGACCUUGGCCGGGGUCGGGAUUCACGACGACGGGAGAUGUAUGGUGGUUGUGCGAGUGGUGACAUAGCUAGCUAGUGAAAACAUUUACUGUUGAGUAUCGUGAUUAUCAGGAAAGAGGAGAUAGACUAGGAUUUUUUUCUGGCUUGUCUUGUACUUUAAGUAAAUCAUUGUACUCCUAUAUAUAUAUGCCCACGAGGCUCAAGCAAUACAACGAACAACUAUUUCACCAGAUCCCUCUCUCCCUUCUAACAUGGUAUCAAUUUUCGGGUUCUAAAGCCUAGCCGCCGCCGCUUUUGCACCCGUGCACCGCCGCCGGGGCGGUCAGCCUCCAUGACCGUCGCUGGGGGCCGCGCCGCCCAUAUCGAGGGUUCAUCCGCCAGCCGUGUUGGCCGGCUGCCCUAGGGAGCCUUUUUCUCGAGCCCUUGCUUCGGGUUUUUUUUUGCUCUCUCGCUGGUCAUUUUGAUCGGCGUUUUUCUUUUUGAUUUUGAUCUAUGCUUGAUCAGUUUGUGUUGCCCGCCGCCGCCGUCGACACCCCGCGCCUCUACUCCGACACCGGCGCGACCGACCGGCUACUUCACCGACCCGGCGGCAUCGCGCGACAGGCAGCCCUCAAGGCCGUCGUCCGCGCCCUGGCCCGUUUGACGCCCUACGCCGGCCAUCAACGCCCUGCUCCGACCGGGGCACCUGCAUCGCCUACACCCGGCGGCCUCGCGCUAUGCGGCGGCCAAUAGUAGCCGCCGCUCGCGCGUCGACCCGCCAAUCGAUCCACGCCACCCGCCUCCGCCGCGUUUGCACAGCGGCCCGGCGGUCUUCCUCGCUGGCCUCGUCCUCCGCUGCAUAGGGACGGCUGUGUCAGGCUCGUUGGCUGCCUCAACUCGGGCGCCGCUGCUUCGUUGGUCGCUCGGGCCUCGCUGCCAAGGCGCCAACGCUGCUUUGGCAGCCUGGGUGCCGGUGCUGACAAGCUCGUCCGCACGACGUCCCACACCGUCCGUCGUCGCUGACCUCAUCUCGGACUCCGCCGCCACCCCGCCUCCACCGAGGGGCGUCCCCGACCUCGCGCAUGAUCGGCUUGAUCACCCGCUCACCGCUUCAUCUAGGCCGCGCGACCGACCUGGUCCAUCGGUUACGCGCGCCUCCGUAGGCCCCGUGAAGAUCGUCCUUGAGUUCAGCAUGCCCCUCCACCGAUCGAGCAAUGGGCUGCCGUCGCGUCGCCCCGUCGAGCCACAGCGCCACCGCCCCGUGGUUCACCUCGCGGUGCAUCGACUCGCGUAUUGCCGCUGCGUCGCCCCUACAGGCCGUAGUGCCGCGAUACGCGGUCCCAGCCGUCGUCCCGAGGCCGUCCCAAUGGUUGCACCGACGCACGCUCCGCCGCUGCACCGCCACUUCGGGUCGUAGCGCCGCGGUCCCUGCCGCCGCCCCGAGGUCUUCUUGCCGUCGCCCCGACCUGCCCGCCGCCACUGCGUUGCCCCUUCGGGCCGUAGCGCCGCGGCCUGCAGUCCAUUCCGCCGUCACCGCGCGUCGACCUCCCGUGGUAUGCGACACGCCCUCUCCCUGGGCGCGGGAAUGCCACCGUCCGCGUCGGUCUUCGUCACGUUGUCAGGGUUCUUCGCCUACAUCGAGCACCGUCACCGCGCUCCUAACCUAGCCUCCGCCGCCGCCGUCAGGCCGCCGGUGCCGCUCUUCUUUGGCCACCGCCGUUGUCGGUGUCAAAACUGGCAGAUCUCGGGUAGGGGUUCCCGAACAGUGCGUCUAAGGCUAAUGGUAACAGGAGCCAGGGGACACAAUCUUUACCCAGGUUCAGGCCCUCUCUAUGGAGGUAAUACCCUACUUCCUGCUUGAUUGAUCUUGAUGAUAUGAGUAUUACAAGAAUUGAUCUACCACGAGAUCAUAGAGGCUAAACCCUACAAGCUAGCCUAUGAUUAUGAUUGUUGUUGUCCUACGAACUAAAUCCUCCGGUUUAUAUAGACACCGGAGGGGGCUAGGGUUACACAGAGUCGGUUACAGAGAAGGAAAUCUACAUAUCCGAAUUGUCAAGCUUGCCUUCCACGCAAAGGAGAGUCCCACACAGACACGGGACGAAGUCUUCAAUAUUGUAUCUUCAUAGUCCAAUAGUCCGGCUGUCCGAGGACCCCUUAAUCCAGGACUCCCUCAGUAGCCCCUAGACCAGGCUUCAAUGACGAUGAGUCCGGCGCGCAGAUUGUCUUCGGCAUUGCAAGGCGGGUUCCUUCUCCGAAUACUCCAUAGAAGAUCUCGAAUACAAGGAUCAUGUUCGGCUCUGCAAAACAAAUUCCACAUACCACCGUAGAGAGCACAAUAUUCCAAAAAUCUAAUCUGCUGAUAACUUUUCAUAGCAUGAUAUCACGCUACGGCUCGGUCAUUAUUCGAACCGUUUUUCUCAACCUGCCACUUCACAUCUUGCGAGGAGGUUUUAUUGGUACGUCUUGUCGAAGCAGAGAUCAUGUCCCCUUAUCACCGGAUUCUCAUCAAUACGGGUGUGGGUAACCCAACCGCGCCAUCAACACGACGCUUGGGGAAUAAGAUAGUUUAUCGGCAAGUGGGGAGGCGCAUGGUUUCUACCGCCUUUCUAAAGAGAUAAGGAUUCCCCUUUUUCACCCACGCCUUCUUCUUCUUCUGCUCAUCCAUUCUCCCUCCCUCGAGCUCCAGCGCGCAAGUUCUCACCUUCUCCGUAAAGCCAUUCCAAGCAUGUCCGGAGCGGGAGGCAAGUGGAUGGCCUCCUCCGUUAUGGAGGAGGACAUCACGAAGCUUUGGGAGGCCGGAUACCUAUCCGCAAACAUCACGCACAGGCUUCCGGCUGAAGGGCAAAUCGUCCCUACCCCUAAACCUCAGGAGAGGGUAGUGUUCCUCUCUCACUUCGUCCGCGGGCUGGGAUUCCCCCUCCACCCAUUUGUCCACGGACUUAUGUUCUACUAUGGGCUGGACUUCCAUGAUCUGGCCCCCAAUUUUAUCCUCAACAUCUUGGUGUUUAUCGUCGUGUGCGAGGCCUUCCUCUGCAUUACCGCCCACUUUGGCCUAUGGCUGAAGACCUUCAACGUGAAGCCAAAGGUGGUGGUUGGCCAACAAGUAGAGUGUGGGGGCGCCAUGGUGGGCAACAUGCCCAAUGUCACCUGACCCGAAGGCUCCUUUGUGGAGACCAUGAAGGGGUGGCAAUCGGGGUGGUUCUACAUCACCGAGCCGCGUGACACCAACUGGGCGGCAGCCCCCGAAUUUCGAUCCAGCAUCCCCAUGCGGCUCACCUCCUGGAAAGAGAAGGGCUUGGCCUGUGUCAUCGGUGGAGCUGACCGGACUUCAGACCUGCGUCCAAAAUAUGAUAGGCAAGAAAAUCAAGCUUGUCAAUGUGGUCCAGGUCAUGCUCCUCCGCCGAAUCAUUCCAUGUCGGAGACGGGCUUUCAAUAUGUGGGAGUUCGACCCGACCGAACACCAGACACUGUGAGAGCUCUUCGACACGACGCACGAAGACGUCUGGAAGGUGUUGUUCAAGGCCACCGAGGUAGCACCGCCCAUAACCGAGGAUCGCGGACUCAGCGCAGAGCGCCCCGCCAAUCCAGUAAGCUCUUUUCUUCUAUAUUUUGCAAGGUGUUCCUUUCCCCAGCAUAUUCGCGGGAGGAAUCUAAGCCUCCAUGCCAAUUUAACAGGACUGGGUAGCGAUAGCAGAGCGGAUUGACUGUCCAGCUCCGCUACCUGAAGAUCCAGCAUCGCCUCUUCUAACGAAGAUGCUGUUUCCGGCACCCUAUGAGGUGCCGGAGAAGAAGGUCAAGAAGAAGGCAACAGGGACUAGGAAGGGUCUCCGGUGCAAGGUUGUAUCGGACAUGACGUUUGAAGACAUCGAGGCGCACUCCUCCAACGAAGACGAGGAGGAGGAAGAAGAAAUCCCUCCCCCCUCCCCAACCGGGGGGCAAAGAAGAGAAAGGUCGCCCCACAAGGGGAGGCUGGGGCGUCCAAGAAGGGAAAGGCUUUCCUUCCGGACCACUCCACCAUGGCCACCUACAGCGGCGAGGAGUGGCUGCCCAGGGACAAGCCCCUGGCUAAGUCGUAACCAUCCGGACACUUUAAUGCUUCCAGUGUGUUUUGAUUUAUUGCUUCUUAUCAUGCCAAACAUGCAUAUGCAGUUCGGCCACAUCCCACAUCGACGCAUCCUCUUCGGAUGGGUCUUUGGGCCCGUCGGCGAUAAACAGUGAUUCACUCCCGACAGCCUCCUCCCCCAGGCCCAUGGACGACACCGAGGUGUUGUCUCAGAGGAUACCGGACCAGGGGGAGACAGUUCUGGAGACGCCCCAAGGCGAAAUCCAAGAUGCCGGGCACAUGGGAGGGAAGACCCCCAUGGAUUCCGAUGGCGGGGGCUGCAGCAAGUCUGGCCCCCAGCCGAAUGCGGCUCCAGAAACCCAAGUGGUUCCGGAUUCAGGAAGGCAGCCUCUCUCUAAGGAGGGCGAGCCGCCUGUACCAAUGACCUCUGUCCAUCCAGAGGCAUCGGAUAACUUGCUAGAAGCGCUUCGCGACACUUCCAUUGAUGAAGAACACCGUACUCUUAUGAGUUUGGUGAUUGAGAAGGUCCGGUCCGCCAAAAGCGGAUUGACCGAAGCCUGCGCGAGCCUCCUAACAGGCUUUGAGGUAAGUAAUAAAAUUGUAAGAAAGUAUCACAACAUAGACAGUAGCCCAUGAUGCUGUAUUUGGUGUUCGAAAAGAAAGGUCGAACAGAGGAUCAAAUAACAUCCGCAGGAGUCUAACAGAAAAUGUCUAUGUGAAUAAGUAGGCGUCACUGCUGGCCACUGCCGCUCAUACUGCGGAGGUCUCCGGACUAAAGCGGGCCUGGAGUAGACCGAGGAAGAGCUCGGCCGCAUGAAGAGGCAGCUGGAUGAAAACAAAGGUACACAAUACCCCGUCUAUAUAUGUAUAAAGGAAAAAAUUGUUGCUUCUAAGCGUCAUGAAUUUUAAUAGGGGCCACGACCGAAGUGGCGGCCCUUAAAAAGGUGCUGACCGAGGCCGAAGACAAAGCGGCCAAGGAGCGCGCCGAGCGCGAGUAGCAAGAGGCCCGAAUCGAUGAGGUCCAGCAAGAGCUCCAGGAUUUCGUCAAAAAAUGCGAUUCCUUGGAGCGUGACUCUAAGACGCAAGAGUCCGAGCUUGCGAAGGCCCUCCAGAGCGCACGAGACACCAAGGACGAAGCCCAAAAGGCCCUCCAGGAGAUUCAGGCGGCCAAGAAGAUAGCGGCGGGUAAGGCAUUCAUUAUGCAAAGCAAGCAUGUGAAGGAGACUGUCCUUUUACUUACCCGAAUUUGGAGCUCUCCAGGAGCAUUCGCAGAUCUGUCACGCAGCAUAUCUGAUGCCGUAGAGUUCUACCGAGCUGAAGAAGGGAGCUCGACAGAGAAGUUGUUCUGAUCUCAGUAUAUUGGGACCGAACAUCCGAUGCCCUUGAGCGACGAGCUGGAGCAACUGGUCGAACUGCACAAGGCGGCCGAACUGGCCAUGAAGGACCUCAUAGUCCGGAUGUGGCUUGCCUAACCCCUACCCAGCAGCUACUUCGGCCUAGUAAAGCGGCUUGUGAGUGCCUGUCCGCGGCUUGAAGUUAUAAAGUGGUCAGUUUGCAUUGAAGGUGUGCGCAUGGCCUUCGCCUGCGCGAAAGUGCACUGGGCAAAGAUGGAUGCCAAGAAGUUAAUGACCGAGGGGCCGCCGAAGGGCAAGGAGCACUGCCACCCCGAGAAGUAUUAUGAUAGUGUCUUGAAGGGCUCCCGCCUUGUGGCGGAGCAAUGUGCUAAGGAUGUAAUAUUUGAGUGAAUGUACUCAUUUGAUCCUGUAAUAUGAAAACAAGUUCGUUUGCACAAUAUAACGCUUGUUGAUUAAAAUUUUACCUUCUGUGUGGCCGUUUAUAAAAUCUGAGAGUUCGCCAGUCGUCGACUUCUGCCCCCAUGUAACUAGUACCGGGGUGUUCGAUAUAAAUCUAAACAUUCUUUAUCCGUUUUUUUGUCCUUUAAGGAGGCGUUUAGUGCAACGACAAGGCAAUAAGAUUAUACGGCUUUAUCACUCUCACUUAGCCAUAGAAGUUAUAUAAUUUUAAAUUUUGGCAUAGCCCCUGGUAUUCGGAAGGCCGAACUUGGGGCGCUAUACACGCCUAAAUCGGACAAGGCCGAUUCCUCGCCCGAAGCAGAAAAAAUCUUUAAGGAUUUGAAACCUCUCGAACAGCGACUAGCUCUCGCCGCAUCAUGACAGUCAGUUUUCGGCUUUCUCUACUGAGGUGCUCGUCUGGAAGAACCAGGACACAAUCGCAGUAGUUGUCCCUGUGCCACCUUAGCCGAUAUAGCGGAACGUAAGGCAGCAAAACAUGGGAGCCGGGGAAACCCAACUAUUGACCCAAGACAUGAUUCGGAGUUGAUGCAUAUAAUGCUAUAAGUUCGGGGUGCUGCAUUGUCGAAAGUGUUCGGACUUUUCCUGCCGUGUUAUGGGGUACAUUGAAGCCCUUGGCGAUCUGAACGUACCAAAAUGUACGGGUGCAAUUUGUAAUAAAUAAACAGACAAGGAAAGAGAUAAAGAAAUGUAAUAAUAAGCUGACGUUAUACAUUAUUUUCCAUUGUUAUGUGAAUAAUACGUCAAGGCGCAUGUAUACAAGUAGUGCAAUAAGCACAAUAGGACUAUUUAACAUGUCCAUAACCAAGGGCGAGCUGCGUGUGGGUAUGUAAAAUAGGUAUAGCGAUCGUUAUCAGAGACCAGCUGGGGAUUCCCUUGUACGUCAAAGCUCCUUGCCUCCUUGGUGUUUCCGUCCAGUGAUGGGUCCGAUAAUCAGGCUAUCGGAAGAGCCUCCAGAAAAUAGGGACCUGAGAACAAAGAAAAGGGGGAAGGUGUACGGGUCCUGGGGCGGUUGAGCCACAUUAUGGACCGCAUUGUCUUUAUGUGAACUAGAUUAUUGACUCUAGUGCACUAGAGUCAAUACUAGUGACACUAUGUUGUCUAUAUAUUCACACAUGUAUUAUGUUUCCAGUUAAUACAAUUCUAGCAUCUAUGGUGGAGGGAGGCACCGCACACGGCUAAGAGAUCAAGAGAUCAAUUGUUGUCUCUAUGUGGUGCCCCCUCCCCCGUAUAUAAAGGAGUGGAGGAGGGGGCCGGCCAAGGGGGGUGGUGCGCCCUAGGGGGGGAGUCCAACUCUCACCGGGAGUAGGACUCCCCCUUUUCCAAUUAGGAGAGGGAGAGGGAAGGAAGAGGAAGGAGGGAGGAAGGAAAGGGGGGGGCGACCCCCCUACCAAUUCGGAUUGGGCUUGGGGGGGCGCGCCCCCUCCCUUGCUCCUUUCCCCGCCUUUCCACUAAGGCCCAAUAAGGCCCAUAUACCUCCCGGGGGGUUCCGAUAACCUCCCGGAGCUCCAGUAUUGUCCCAAUCUCACCUGGAACCUUUCGGGUGUCCAAAUAUAGUCCUCCAAUAUAUCAAUCUUUGUCUCUACCAUUUCGAGACUCCUCGUGAUGUCCGUAAUCACAUCCGGGACUCCGAACAACCUUCGGUACAUCAAAACUCAUAAACUCAUAAUAAAACUGUCAUCGUAACUUUAAGCGUGCGGACCCUACGGGUUCGAGAACUAUGUAGACAUGACCGAGACACGUCUCUGAUCAAUAACCAAUAGCGGAACCUGGAUGCUCAUAUUGGCUCCUACAUAUUCUACGAAGAUCUUUAUCAGUCAAACCGCAUAACAACAUACAUUGUUCCUUUUGUCAUCGGUAUGUUACUUGCCCAAGAUUCGAUCGUCGGUAUCUAAAUACCUAGUUCAAUCUCGUUACCGACAAGUCUCUUUACUCGUUACGUAAUGCAUCAUUCUGUAACUAACUCAUUAGCUACAUUGCUUGCAAGGCUUAUAGUGAUGUGCAUUAUCUAGAGGGCCCAGAGAUACCUCUCCGAUAAUCGGAGUGACAAAUCCUAAUCUCGAAAUACGCCAACCCAACAUGUACCUUCGGAGACACCUGUAGAGCUCCUUUAUAAUCACCAGUUACGUUGUGAUGUUUGGUAGCACACAAAGUGUUCCUCCGGUAAACGGGAGUUGCAUAAUCUCAUAGUUAUAGGAACAUGUAUAAGUCAUGAAGAAAUCAAUAGCAACAUACUAAACGAUCAAGUGCUAAGCUAACGGAAUGGGUCAAGUCAAUCACAUCAUUCUCCUAAUGAUGUGAUCCCGUUAAUCAAAUGACAACUCAUGUCUAUGGUUAGGAAACUUAACCAUCUUUGAUUAACGAGCUAGUCAAGUAGAGGCAUACUAGUGACACUAUGUUGUCUAUGUAUUCACACAUGUAUUAUGUUUCCGGUUAAUACAAUUCUAGCAUGAAUAAUAAACAUUUAUCAUGAAAUAAGGAAAUAAAUAAUAAGUUUAUUAUUGCCUCUAGGGCAUAUUUCCUUCACAUAUAUAUAUCAUAUGCUGAAGUGGCUGUCCAGCGCCCUGUGGGCGGUGGUUCUUGUUCUUCUCCGGCGUCGUCGUCCAUACUGUCGAUGUCUUUGGAGUCGAAAUCAAGCAUGUCGGUUAAGUCGUCGAUAGUGGCUAUUAAGUGGAUGGUGGGUGGGGAACGAAUUUCUUCAUCGUCCGCUUCCCACUCAAGCCGGACAUAGUUAGGCCAAGAGUCUCCUGACAGGGAGAGAGAUUUCAACGAAUUUAGCACGUCGCCCAAGGGCGAGUGCUGAAAGAUAUUCGUGGAGGUAAACUCCAUGAUCGGCACCCAAUCAGGUUCAGUGGGUGCAGAUAUACGCGGUUCGGAGCCUGCAGCCGGCGACGAGUCCAAGGGUCCGAUGACACAGACCUUAUUGGAGGCGAAGUCUGUGUUCGGCUCUACCGCCGAUGAGUGUGCAGCCUCCGUGGUGGGGCCUAUCCACCCGUCCUCGGAUGGCACGAUCUGCUCCAGAUUAAGAGCUGGGGCAGCUGCAGGUGCAAUCUCCCGAACACCGUCCGAUGGCAGAUCUAAGUCAUGCUCAUCAUGACUGUUCGGCGCACCUGUCAUGGGCUUGAAUCCAUCGAAGAUCAAGUCUCUGUGGAUGUCGGCGGUGUAGUUCAGGCUUCCAAACCUGACCCGAUGGCCAGGGGCAUAGCUAUCGAUCUGCUCCAGAUGGCCAAGCGAGUUGGCCCGCAGUGCGAAGCCACCGAAUAUGAAGAUCUGUCCGGGAAGGAAAACCUCACCAUGAAUCGCAUCGUUGUGGAUGAUCAACGGAGCCAUCAAGCCUUAUCGUGACGACACAGUGGAACUCUCAAUGAAAACACCAAUGUCGGUGUCAAAACCGGUGGAUCUCGGGUAGGGGGUCCCGAACUGUGCGUCUAAGGCUAAUGGUAACAUGAGGCGGGGGACACAAUGUUUACCCAGGUUCGGGCCCUCUAUAUGGAGGUAAUACCCUAUUUCCUGCUUGAUUGAUCUUGAUGAUAUGAGUAUUACAAGAGUUGAUCUACCACGAGAUCAUAGAGGCUAAACCCUAGAAGCUAUCCUAUGAUUAUGAUUGUUGUUGUCCUACAGACUAAACCCUCUGGUUUAUAUAGACAUCGGAGGGGGCUAGGGUUACACAGAGUCGGUUACAGAGAAGGAAAUCUACAUAUCCGAAUUGCCAAGCUUGCCUUCCACGCAAAGGAGAGUCCCACCUGGAAACGGGACGAAGUCUUCAAUAUUGUAUCUUCAUAGUCCAACAGUCCGUCAUAAGUAUAUAGUCCGGCUAUCCGAGGACCCCUUAAUCCAAGACUCCUUCAGCCGACACUACCCCCAUAGCCGCCGCAACCGCCCGUCCACCUCCUUCGUCUUCGUCCAGCACCAGCCCGUCAUCAGCGUCGCCGUCAUCUUCCCCGACCACUUCGUCUACUCCGACCACCGUUGGUGACAUUGGCCUCGCGCCGAUGGACGCCACACUCAUCUUCGAGUUUUUCUCUGUUGGCCCCUCCGACUUCUCCGACAUGGCGUACAGCUCAUGCAGGUCCCAGUCUCCGCAUGCCUGGUGCUGGCAACACCGAUGCAUGCCUUCAUCCACGACGUGUCCCUGGGCCUGGCCAGCCUGGUCGGCACUUCCUUCGACUUCGUCUUCGUCCACCUAUGCAUGCCCGGUGCUGGCAACAAUGGUGCAUGCCUUCAUCCACGAUGUGUCCCCGGGCUUGGCAAGCCCGCCGCGAAGCGUCGUCAACAACAUCUUCUUCCCGGUGCACCACUACUUCGACACCACUGCGCCCAUGCUAACUCGGCCCCCCUUGCGCCCGCGGUUCCACAUCGACUUCCUCGACACCGGCCACCCCGACUCGACAUCGACCACGACAUUCUUCACACGGCUACCUCGACCACGGCUACACCACUCACGCGAUCGGCUACAUCGACAAACGACACAAAGGGCUAUCGCCUGAUUGAGCAACCUCGUCGGUUUCCACUCCAGCCACAACUCUGCGAUGCAUCGACCGUNNNNNNNNNNNNNNNNNNNNNNNNNNNNNNNNNNNNNNNNNNNNNNNNNNNNNNNNNNNNNNNNNNNNNNNNNNNNNNNNNNNNNNNNNNNNNNNNNNNNNNNNNNNNNNNNNNNNNNNNNNNNNNNNNNNNNNNNNNNNNNNNNNNNNNNNNNNNNNNNNNNNNNNNNNNNNNNNNNNNNNNNNNNNNNNNNNNNNNNNNNNNNNNNNNNNNNNNNNNNNNNNNNNNNNNNNNNNNNNNNNNNNNNNNNNNNNNNNNNNNNNNNNNNNNNNNNNNNCUCCAGUCUCACCGUCUGCGUCGCUACCGUUGUGACUGCGGGGGAUGUUGAGUAUCGUGAUUAUUAGGAAAGACGAGAUAAACUAGGAUUUGUUCUAGCUUGUCUUGUACUCCAAGUAGAUCAUUGUACUCCUAUAUAUAUGCCCACGAGGCUCAAACAAUAGAACAAACAACUAUUCCACCAGAUCCCUCUCUCCCUUCUAACAUUUACGUUAUUUGAACAGGUGACCAACUUUAUAUUUCCCCGCAACCAAGGUGAUGAACGAAGACGAACCAACAUGUAGUUGGAUGGUUAGGAGGAUGAGAGUAUUCUUGGCCCACUCGGGUUUAAGUCUCAGUGGGAGAAGAUGUUCCCGUCGACUACAAGACGGCUACGGUGACUUUGAGUGUAUGCUUGUAUAUAUGAGUGUUUAGAGCAACUCCAACGGGGCGACCCAUUUCGUUGGCCGCCGUCCGUUCGGGUCUACGCGGACAAAAGUGGAGGCCCAACGCGCCGAUCCAAACCCAAAACGCGUCCGCUUCGCGUUCGCGCCGACGCAUUUGCGUCCCAAAUUUGCGCCCCAAAUGCAUCAGCACGGAGGCGGAACAGACGCCGCGCGCGCCUUCUUGACGUCCGCCGCGGCCCCACCUGGCGGUUGCUCAACUACCCGCCCUCUCGCGGGUCAGCUUAAUUUAUGACCCUGAGCCCACGCAUCAGCAACGGCGGUCGUCCUUUUUUAAGCCGACCAUGUGGCGGGGCCCUCCUCAUCCAUUUUCCGUCCCCAUCGAGGCCAUGCUCGCUCCGCCGUCGCUGGCAAGACAACCCUAGCCACCCCAGCCGCCCAAAUGGGGCUCUUCUCCGGCAGCAGCAGCAAGCCGAAGGGCAAGGUUCCCGUCGUCCCCUUCCCCAUGGAGUUCACCCCGCCUCCGCCUGCGCCUGCUUGCCGGCAAAGGCAGCGGGUGAACGUGCCCGUGCACCAGGCGGAGUGGCACUGGCACCACUGCGUGCUGCUGCCGUACCCCGACGUGACGCUGCCGCACGACUGGCAUCUGAAUCCGGAAAGGAUCCCAGUGUCGGCGGCGCCGCGGUCGGCUAGGGAGCAUGCGGAGGAGGUGCAUCGCCGGCAGGCGCUCCUGACGCGGGAGCAGCGCCGCGAUGAGGCGUACGCCUUCGACUCGCUCAACUGGGCGCGCUGGUUCGCUUCGAGCACGAGGGGGCGAGGCAGCGCGACGUGCGGAGGUCGCCCACAGUGUGCCGCCGCCGCCGCUCAUCAUCAGGGAGGAAGACCAGGCAGCACGGGACGCCUACCAGGCGGCCCUUGCGGCCGUCUACCGGGAGAGCGAGGAGGACGAGCGGCGCAAGGCGGAGGCGGCAGAAGAAUAAGAAGCUCGGUACGAGGCGGCCAUGGUGUAGGCCAUGGCCCUCUCCGCGGCCGGCGACUGCGUGGUGCUGCCGGUGGCCCCGCCGUCCCCUCCCCAACGCCUCGUCAAGGCCGACCCGGAGCCGCAGCCACAACCGGAGCCGGAGCUGGGCUCCACCGCGAGCUUCUCCUGGACGGGAAUGGUGCGCGAGUGGGUGUCGGCGCCACCGGUUUGGAUGGGGGCGACCCCCGGCGCAGGAGGCGGCAUACCUCGAGCACGGGCGCCAGCGACGGCUGGCUGAGGAGCGGUGUCAAGGCGAGUACGAGGAGAUGCUCGAGCGCGACCUCGAGGAGGAGGCGCGCGAGACUCAGGAGNNNNNNNNNNNNNNNNNNNNNNNNNNNNNNNNNNNNNNNNNNNNNNNNNNNNNNNNNNNNNNNNNNNNNNNNNNNNNNNNNNNNNNNNNNNNNNNNNNNNNNNNNNNNNNNNNNNNNNNNNNNNNNNNNNNNNNNNNNNNNNNNNNNNNNNNNNNNNNNNNNNNNNNNNNNNNNNNNNNNNNNNNNNNNNNNNNNNNNNNNNNNNNNNNNNNNNNNNNNNNNNNNNNNNNNNNNNNNNNNNNNNNNNNNNNNNNNNNNNNNNNNNNNNNNNNNNNNNNNNNNNNNNNNNNNNNNNNNNNNNNNNNNNNNNNNNNNNNNNNNNNNNNNNNNNNNNNNNNNNNNNNNNNNNNNNNNNNNNNNNNNNNNNNNNNNNNNNNGCCGACACUGCCCCCGCCGGAAUAGCUGCCCCCGGUCUACAUCGCCGCCGCAUGGGCCACGGCGUUCCCCUGGGCCGACCCUCCGCCGACGCUCAUCGACCUCACUGACCCCGAGGACGACGACGACGACGACGCCUAGGGUGCGUUGGACAGCGCGCCGCCUCGUAGUUAGGUUGUUUUUAAAUUUUUUUUAAUGCUAUUGUGGACGCGUGGACUCUCGCCGGCCUUCCUGGUCGGCUUUAAUGUUUAAUUAAAUUAUUUUCAGUUGAAAUAUGCAUGCACAGUUUUUUUUUUGUCGGCACCGUCAAAAUGGGUCGGGCGCGCGUUGGGCGCAUACGCCGACCCAAACGCGAAAGCGGACGUCCGUGUCCACCCUGACCGAUCAAAACGGAUAAAAAGCGGACGAAAUCGCUGUCCGUUUGGGUUGGCCCGUUGGAGUUGCUCUUAUGUUUGUAGUGUGUUAAAAAGAAAAGUUGAUCAACCAAGGAUUUGCAGCGAACUACUCGCGGAAUUGGGUUGGACGAAAACAGGGAGCGCCCACACAGAUCUCCAACAAAACGGAGGGCACACUCACGCACAUGCCCCUACGUGUUAUCCUACGCACGAACACGCUCCUUGGCUCUCUCCCAACCCCGAUCGAUCUUUAUCCAGUUGCGGGGCAGUGGUCAUCAAAAAGUAUCAGAGGCGAGUCACGUGGAUUGGUUUUUACUAUAUGCGGGCCAUCUGUGCUCUGCCGCGUCGCCCACCUUACGCUCGUCUGAAACCCACGGUCCCCGCACGCCGGUUUCGCGGUUUCUUGCAGCCUAUAAAUCCGGCCGGAGCACCCAGCUCUGCCACAUCCCAUCUCACACAACCUCUACUCAUCUUACCUGACACACUUCACUUCCUUCGGAUCUCGUGCCACCAAGCUCUGCUCCCGCCAAGAUGUCGACGGUGACCCGCGCCUACCUCGACCAGAGGCUCGCCGCCGCCAAGCGCUGCUCCAAAGGUAACGGUUCGGGCCUCAGGCCAGCACUGCUCUGCUCGUAUAUCCCACCCAUUGCAGCCUAUGCUUGUGCUGAAACCUGACCUGGAUUAACAUUUCCCUACGUUGAUCCGAAACUGCAGAGGCUGCCAUGGCAGGAGCCAAGGCGGCGGCCGUCGCCACCGUCGCUGCCGCAGUGCCCACAGUAAGUAGCCGUUCAGUUCUUCAGUUCCAGAGUUCAUAGCACAUAUCUCAUGAAUGCGUCACCUGUAAUUUAAGCUGGCGAGCGUGAGGAUGCUGCCGUGGGCGAAGGCACACCUGAACCCGACCGGGCAGGCCCUCAUCAUCUCCACCGUCGCCGGGAUGGCCUACUUCAUCGUGGCCGACAAGACCAUCCUCUCCAUGGCCAGGAAGCACUCCUUUGAGGACGCGCCGGAGCACCUCAAGAACACCUCCUUCCACUAAUUAGACUAUAAAAUAGAUCCAUUAGUAGUCCGUAAUAGUCUGCACGCCGGACUGGAAGUGUCUGCUGAAAGAUGGUAUUGUAAUGUUCAGGCAGCACUUCUAUGAAAUCAGGCGAGUGGUGUAGUACUGCGCUUCUUUGCCCGCAAGAACUUAUCUGAUGAAGUGAUCAUGUAUCCACCCAGUAACCUUGAAUUAAUAAUGACUUGCAUUUGUACAACUCAGGCUCACCUGCCAUCACUCAUCUUACAUUUUCUUGUUUGUGAUUAUCGUUUGAAAUGGGACACUGGGAGAGCAUGCACACGGCCGACACAACACCGCAUCAUUUGAUCCCCUACUCCUCAACUGUUCUGCGGUGUACGUCAGGAUCAUGCCACCCCACUUUGUUAAAUCUUUUGCGGACCGGGCUGCGGGAGGCAGGUGGCUCUGUAGGGUGGCCCCAGUAAUCUUUCACUUCAAAUGUUGUGUACUGCUAUUUUGAACAUUUGUAAUGAUAAAUGUGAGUUUAAAUCGCCACUUUUCAUUUAGUAUAUACAUCCGAAUGUACGUACUCCGUAUUGAAAUCUCUAAAAGGGCUUAUAUUUAAGAACGGAUGGAGUAAUAAUAAGUAAAAGUUGUAAAAAAUUAAAUUUGGCAUGGUGACGUUGGUACAUGAACUUGUCAUGGAAAUCUCACACGAUUUCUCGAAACGUGGAAAAAACACUUGAUUAGAAAUGGCCCCUUUUGGCACAGUGUCCGAAUAUUGGUACAUGCUUAGUAGUUUUUUUAUGAUAAAAAUGCUGGCAAUGGAUCCACAUCUCAGUCGAUUCCUGGAGCUAAGCAGGGUGGUUUUCCUACUGGGCUCCUUCCAUCCCCAGUGAGGCCUUGUUCGGUUAAGCCACUCCCCAAGUGGAUUGGAGUGGAAUAGAGGGAAUUUGGGGGGAAUUUGAACUAGAUGGGAUUUAAUCCAUGCCAAUCCCUCUCAUUUGCCAUGGAACCGAACAAGGCCUGAGGAAAACCAGACCCCAUUCACGAAUCACAUGAGAGUAUGAAAUCUGAUGACUCAUUACAUACCACUUUGCUCAUUGAGUCCAUGGCUCGUGAGAUGGAUCAUGAUGAAAAAGUGAGCCCAUGUGUUGGAAAAGCUCUUACUACUUUAUGCAUGAGUGGUGAAAAAAAAACUUAUUCUGAUGUGGUAAACACUCUUCCUAAGGUUGUGGAGGUGGAUGAGCAAAAUGACUCAAAUCUGAAAAUCAUCAAUGACUACAUGGUCGAGUUGCCUGACGUUCAAGUGGACAUUGAGGUGAUUCCUACACCUCCCUUAGUUACGGAAGAGAAUCUGCGUUUCAGUCUGCGCAAUGUGCAAAACAAGAUGGCUAGUGUGGAGGAAAAAGCUAUGGCAGUGGCUAAGAAGAGGGACAUUGAAGGUACUCCCAGAGACCUCAACUCUUUUGAUGCAUUAUCAAAUUCUGAACUUAUUCUUAGAGCAGUCAAGAUGGGAGUUAAUAUUCCAGGUGCAGAUUUUGAUAGUGUGGAUAUUCUAAGGGAAUUGAAAAAUGUAGAAUCAGGGAUAGUUUGAAUGNNNNNNNNNNNNNNNNNNNNNNNNNNNNNNNNNNNNNNNNNNNNNNNNNNNNNNNNNNNNNNNNNNNNNNNNNNNNNNNNNNNNNNNNNNNNNNNNNNNNNNNNNNNNNNNNNNNNNNNNNNNNNNNNNNNNNNNNNNNNNNNNNNNNNNNNNNNNNNNNNNNNNNNNNNNNNNNNNNNNNNNNNNNNNNNNNNNNNNNNNNNNNNNNNNNNNNNNNNNNNNNNNNNNNNNNNNNNNNNNNNNNNNNNNNNNNNNNNNNNNNNNNNNNNNNNNNNNNNNNNNNNNNNNNNNNNNNNNNNNNNNNNNNNNUGGGAAGAAAAAAGAGAGAAAGGUUAAUAUUGUUAUAUCUGGACCUACUACCAGAAGUCAAAAAGGGGGUGUUUCCUUACAAGAUGAUAAGGGUAACUCUACUUUGCCUCCUAGUAGAGUUACCAAGAGGGGGGGGGGGUCAAAAAGAAAAAAAUGAAUGGUCUAUUUUUGAAUUGGAGAGGAGCAGGUAAGAAAGGGAUGACUACCUGCUUCUCUGAAAUCAUUAGAGAUCAUUCCCUCAACUUUAUUGGCCUCCAAGAGACUAAGAAAACCAAAUUUACUCCUAAGUACUUGAGGAAGAUUGACCCCUUUGAGAGAUUCAAUUUGAACUGGGUCCCCUCCAUUGGAAAAUUGGGUGGGAUUUUGUGUGGGGUCAAAAAGAGAAACCUUAGACAGUGUUGCAUGGACAGUGGGUAAAUAUCUCCUUCAAGUUAAUGUGUUUGAUGUAAAGCUAAAAUGCAUGUGGGCCCUCAUAGUUGUAUAUGGGGCUGCCCACGAUGAAAAUAAAGAAGAAUUCCUAGCUGAGUUACCUCGGUCUGCUCCCAUAUUAGAUUACCCUAUAUUAUGGGUGGUGAUUUCAACAUCCCGCGGGAUAGUAGCGAAAAAAAUAAGCACUUGACCCGUUCUCAUUAUGUGGAUAAAUUCAAUGAUGUCAUUCACUCCUUGAACCUACAUGAGAUAGAUAUGGGAGGAGGUAAAUAUACUUGGACCAACAACCAAAAACACCCCACCUUAGAGAAACUAGACAAAGUUCUGAUGAGCUUUGAUUGGGAAGAUCUCUUCCCUCUAGUCACGGUUUGCAAGUCAGUAAGAGAUAUGUCAGAUCACAAUCAUUUACUGUUAUCCUCGAGUCCUAUGAAAACAAGCCCCCUUCACCAUCGUGAAUUUAGAUUCGAGCGUAGCUGGCUAAAAAAUGAGGUUUUUUUAUCAUAAAGCUAAGAGCAUUUGGGAACAGUAGUUAACUCGAGUGACCCGAUUGAUAUCCUUAACAUUAAGUUGAAACGUAUCAAGAAAUACUUUAAAGGUUGGGGAUCCCACUCCUUUGGCCAUGCUAGAAAAAGAAAGCAAAAGAUAAAGGAGGAGUUAGAAGAAAUUGAGAAAAAGGAAGAGGUCGGACCCCUUGAUCCUGAUAUGUAUGAAAAAAGAACUACCUUAUGUGCUGAGCUUAAUGACAUCCUUGCUGAUGAGGAACUCUUUUGGCUACAACACUCGAACGAGCGUUGGCUGCUCAAAGGAUAUCAAAAUACUGCCUUUUACCAUCGCGUUGCUAAUGGGAGGAAAAGAAAAAAAUGCUAUCCAUUCUCUAACGAAUGGGGAGGUGGUAAUUGAGGGCACAAAAAAUCUCCUAGCCCAUGUCACCUCCUUCUAUAAGGAUCUGUUUGGCCCAGCCAGAGGAAAUCUUUUCCUUCUGUCCCUAGAUACCUGGACUGAGGGAGAAAAACUUACUAGCGAAGAUAAUUUCCUACUCACUAGUGAGUUUAUAGAGGAGGAAGUUAAAAAAGCCUUGUUUGGCAUGGAGAGCAACAUAACCCUUGGUCCGGAUAAUAUACCGGCAGGAUUCUAUAAACACUGCUGGGAUUUUGUAAAAAAAUGACAUAAUGUGUCUUUUUAAAGCUUUCCAUGACAACACGUUGGAUAUUGAAUGCUUGAAUUAUGGAGUGAUUACCCUACUCCCAACAAUGAAUGGGGCUAAAAAAAUCCAACAAUAUCGUCCCAUCUGCUUACUUCGGUGUCCCUAUAAGCUAAUCACCAAGGUGCUUGAUAAUAGGGUGGCUGUUUAUGUUGAUAAGCUAAUCAGCCGGCAUCAGAAUGCAUUCAUUAAGCACAGAAACAUAAUGGAUGGGAACCUUACUCUCCACGAGGUGUUUCACCACACACAUCACAAGAAAAAGUGGGGUUGGUCUUGAAACCGGACUUUGAAAAAGCCUACGACAAGAUUAAUUGGGAUUUCCUUCUGGAAUAUCAUCGUAACCGUGGCUUUGGUAAAACCCGGUGUGGAUGGGUGGAGAAAAUUUUACACAAUGGCACAGUGAGUAUUAGACUAAAUAAUGAAGUGGGCCCUUAUUUCCAAAGCCACAAAGGAGUACGCCAAGGCGGCCCCUAUUCUCCUUUUCUAUUCAACCUAGCUGUUGAGACCCUACCGAAGAUGAUCCUUAAUGCUCAAAAAGAAAAACUCCUUACUGGGUUGGCUCCUAAUCUGAUUGAAUGGGGAGUAGCUAUCUUACAAUACGCAGACGAUACUGUGAUAUGCAUAGAACAUAAUAAAGAUGCUGUUGUAAACUUGAAACUUCUGCUAUAUAUGACCGAGCUUAUGUCAGGCCUAAAAGUCAAUUUCCUCANNNNNNNNNNNNNNNNNNNNNNNNNNNNNNNNNNNNNNNNNNNNNNNNNNNNNNNNNNNNNNNNNNNNNNNNNNNNNNNNNNNNNNNNNNNNNNNNNNNNNNNNNNNNNNNNNNNNNNNNNNNNNNNNNNNNNNNNNNNNNNNNNNNNNNNNNNNNNNNNNNNNNNNNNNNNNNNNNNNNNNNUGAGGACACGCUGGCCUUUUAUGCGGAGUUGUUUAAUUGUAAUAUUGGGAACUUCCCAAUGAAAUACUUGGGAGUCCCAGUCGGUUAUUCAAAUCUUCGUGUCUUGGAGUGGGACUUUGUUGAUGAAAGAUUCCUUAAAUGCUGCGAAGCCUGAAUUGGGAAUGCAGCAUCCUCGGGAGGAAGACUUAUACUACUCAAUUCCUCACUUACGAGCAUUGUGUACUGAUACGUCCAUUUUGCAUCAUGCAGCAUCCUCGGAAUGUAGAAGAAUAAUACAAUGAAAGUGGCAUAGUCUUUCUUCUCUUCCAGCAAUUGAUUUCCCACUCUUGCUCAUAUGCAUUCCACUAUGAUGAAGCAGGUCCAAGUCUCUCGCUUGACAGCAGAGUAGGGCAGGGUGUGACUCGGUGUUAACCUUGGCCUGAAAUGGACAAAAAUUAUGAUAUCAUAGGGAGAACAACAUUAAUAACAUAUGAAAAUACCCAUUAUACAUAGGGGAUUACCUAAAAUUGGUGAUCAUAUUUCAUUGCCUGUGCAUGCAAUCGCCAUUUACAACAUUUUGUUUGCCUACAAUGCGCCCUAAGCAUUUUUUGGUUAAUCUUUUUUAGUGAUAAACUCAAACUCCCUUCUAUAGCCAUAAGUUGCAAGUGCUUAUCUACAGUCCUCCACGGAAUCAAUGAUAGUCUCUGCUUUCAUAUUAGAGUCGCCCUACCUAAGGAGAUUACAGACCUAUCAUCUUCUUCUUCUAGACUGUGAGAUGCCAUUGCCUAUUCCUUGUCGUCGUCAGUCAAAUAGCCAGCCACAUACACAUGUCGAUAAGUUUUCUCAUCAUUAGUGGGUAAAUCUUACCAAGUCUAAUUGUUAACAGCAUGAAACAACAUCCACAUGGUCCUCAUAGACACGUGUCUACCAAACAUCAACAACAAACAAUCAUCAUCAGCUACGUCAAUAAAUUUCUCUAGUGUCAUAGUGCCUCAUCAGGUAAUGCUCGUUGGGAUGAUAGUAAUACUUCUCAAAUUGCUUAAUUCGGUCCUUCUGACUUACUAACAUAGCGUCUAUAGGCAAUUGAUAGUGAAACCCGCCACUAAUUUCCAAGCUACCACCGGUCAAGCGAUGGGUGUAACACCCAUGCAGAAUUUUCAAGAACAUCAAGAAGUUGUUUGGAGGUACAAUCCAACGCAAAGUAGAAAAUCAUGAGUGCGAUAUUCGAAUAGAAAAAAUGUGAAUCGUCAAAAAGGUUCAAGAUAAUGGUGGAUUUCUUACCCCCAUGGGCGAAACGAUGCUUUCACUAGGCUCCAGAGGCCCUGGCCGUCGUAAAGAUCUGUCUGAGCGGAGAUCAUGAGAACAUCGAGGUGGCGGUGGUUGCGGAACAGUGGGAGAACGUGACUCGAAGUGGUGGGAAGAAGAGGGCCCCUACCCACCAAUAUUUAGGAACGCGCCACUAUCGACGGCUAGAGGUGGCCCACAACAGACAAAGACAUCAGGUUGGCAAAAAUGGAGAUUAUGGCCUCAACUACGUUCCCCCACAUCGGUUGGAAUGGUCAAAGGGCUCCUUAUUAAUAUUGGUGGCACGAUGUCAAAGUGGAAAAAUGGAAAUUGUGGCCUCAACGGUGUGCCUCCACAUCGGCCGGAGUCUUCUCGUCGCUGCGGUUGAUGUGGCGAAGUAGUGGGUCCCAGAUGGAAUGAGAUGAUGUGUGGGGCAUACAUCUAAUUCUUUUGCAAUCGCAAGUGGCGUGGACUAAAAUACGGAAGUUUGAGUGACAAGACUCAAAUAUACAACUUUGGCAGCGGCACAAACCUAUUUUUCCAUAAAUAUAAUAUUAAAAAAAUCCCUCAUGGGUUUGAUGAUAUUGAUUGGAAAUGUAUAUGUUCAUACUUCUUUCCUAUAAACUAUAUCAAAGCGUAAUCAGACAAAAGUAAUAUACACUCUAUUUUGAAAUGUAGGGAGUAAGCCAUAUCUAUAAAAUAUCAUGACCAUGGCUAUUGAUGAUUUCUCUAUACUACUCAUGUCAUUUAAUAGGAUUUAUUGGCAUUUAUUUGGAUAAGGAUAACCUUUUGUUGUGGGUCGGAUAAGGAUAAGCUUGAUGCAAAAGAAACUGAAACAUGCCGUUUAAUGACAUUAAUUGGAUAAGGACAACCUUAAUGCAACCACAUCUACAUAAGACGACUGAACGGUACAAAUCAUGACCACAAAAACCAUAUCGAUUGAUAGACUAUUGCAUAAUUACAUAUUCUCAGUUGUUCUGUGUUCUUAGGCAAUGACAAAAAAUAGCAUCUUCCAAGUGAUCAUAGCGUUACUCAUGGUGCAAGUCUGCUUGCUCAUGAUGAUGGCAGCACCGGCAGCACAUGCAGCUGCUAGACCAGUGGGGUACAAUCCAGUGUGCUGUCCUAGGAACAUUUACUGUUGCGGGUUCGGUGGCGCAUUGGCCAAUGCACCCGCACCAUCCAUUGAGCCUUGAUGUGUGGUGUUAUUGUCUCCUCGAGGUAGUAAGCUCGACAUAUAAAUGAUAUAUGUAGUUUUAUUGUCUCAUGUGUUACUUGUUCCUGAAUAUUUGUGAUGCUAUUUUCAAGAAGAUAUUGUACUAGCUACUUAUGUAAUAAAAUGGGAGGAGAUUAUUAUAUAUAUUGUGUUAAACAAAGAGAUUCAAAUUUAUGUUUACGUUAUUCCUUUUGGAAACAAGAUUACUUGGACACAUUGCUUUAUGGCAAAAAACCAGUGGUGAGGUGCGUGCCUAUGAGAAUUUCUGUUUUAUCGUUCCGUUGGUCCUCCAUUUGUCGAGAUUGUCUGGGUCGUGGCAACAUGUUUUAUUUUUCACAGAGGUCAUAACUUUUUGUAGCAUUUAUUGAGUGAUGGAGUACAUCACCAAUUAGUAGAAACCAACUACUGUUGGCGAUGCUUGUUUAUGAAUCAAGGGAUCCACACUCUCUUCCUUUUUUGCAAGAAGGCCGAGGCCAUGUAUUAAAAUUGUCCAACCCUUACAACACCAUCCUUACAACAGAAGAAAAAUAGAAAACAUAUCCUGGGUUAUAUCAAGGGCGUCUUCCUUCCGGACUUAUACGGCGUGAGCAAAGCUCGAUGUCGCCUUUGGAUUUCCAGAACACCUUAGAGCCAGGGUAAAUCAUUCUCUACAUUUUUCAAGUGAGUGCUCAAUUCCUAAAAAACAGUCAAAUAACUAGUAUAUAAAUACAACUUUUUAUUCUUUGAUGGAGCACGAAGGGAUUGUUUGCCGUGGAUCCUACAUGUGUAAUCUAUAUAUUAAUCUAUUACUAUACUAAUUAGAGACACCUUCGAAAUUCCCAUGGUUAAUCAGGAAAUACGAACUGCUCAUCUGGUGGGACCAAAUUAUUGCGGUGUAGAUAUUUUAAUUUUUUCUCACAUUAAUAAAAAAUAAACAGUAAUUAUAAGCCACACAUCUGGUGGGACUAAGUUAUUACCGCUAGAAUUUUGCUCCAUUCUAGUAAGCACAAAUAAUAAUCACUCAAAACUUUGUUGUAAAAAUAGAACCCUACAAAAUUACAGUUCAUUCUCUAGUCUCAACAAUUCAAAAGAAGAAAGAAAACUCCCAUCUCAAUAUGGGCACUACACAGUUUCUUCCUCUCCCCAUUAAGAAGAUCAUCAACCGCAAACAAUCUCCAUAUAUUCCAUGGCCACGCAUAGCACUGUCCAUUGGAUUUGCGAUCGAUGGUCUUGGUCGUUGGCGGAGGCCUUCCUCAAUGGUGUGGCCGAACUCGAUCUGCGGGUGAGGUCAAGAUACCGCUUUGGUCCUAGAGGUUUGGUAUAGGGUCUCACAUAAGGAAAAUGGACGAAAAAUUAAGUGAAGGCAGAGAACCCAUAGACAAAGAGAAGCGAAGUUUGUGCCCCAAGCUACUCACUAUGCGCACGUGGUUUCGACACUAGAUGCUGUUUGUUAUUACCAACCAUUUGUAGGCAGUUUGAUUGUUCUAACUAAACCUGGGCAAACGCCUGGUCGGGCCGGGCUUGUAAAAGCCUAACCUUCAUUUCUCAAGCCUGGCUCGAAGCCCAAAAUACUCUCUGUUUUCAAGACCGAGCCCGGCCCGAAAUCAAGCCCGGCUCGGACGCUGUUUUUAUUGUACGCACGUGCAAGCCUGGCCCAAAGCCCGAAAGCCCGGCCCGAAAUACAGAUAAAGAGAAGCCUGAGCUCGGCCUGAACUAUCUUCCAGGUUGCAAAACAAGGCCCGAGCCCACCCCGAAUGUCAAGCCCGGCUGGGCCCUGUCUGUUCAUGCCCGAGUUUAGUUCUAACCCCCACCAGUCUCGGCCUCUGCAUCAAGCGAUGCACACAGUCAUUUAUUAAAAAGUAUCGGGUCUCAAAGUAUGAGUAACAUCUCAAAUUGCCAAACAAGAACAAGAAAUCAAACAAAUAGUUACAACUGGUAAAAUAGGACUAUGCCUGAACACCUAUCUUAUUAACGGACCACCAUCUAAACAGGUUGUAGUAGCCCGUGCAACCAUCUCCCAUGGGUUGCACCCAAAAACCAUAAGCCCGCUCUCUACCACACGGUGCAGUAAUGACCACUUAGGGAUCCAGCCAGUUGCCUGGUAGAUAACCUGCAAAAAGCCUGUGCUAUUUGUCUUGUUAAAAACACAAUCAUUCCGAUAGUUCCAAAUAGCACAAAUUAAUGCACAAACUAAUUUGUGUCGUAAUAUUGGGCUCAACCCCACCUAGCCAGUUACCAAACAAAUUGGAGAUAAUAUUAAGAGGAGGUACGUUCAAUGACACUUGUAUUGUUCGUCACGAUAAGUUGGAUAUGGGGCAAGUGAGAGACAAAUGUUGAGUCGUUUCAUCAUGAUCGCAAAACUACACCGUUUACUCCCCUCCCACCUACGUUUUAAGCCAACUCUAACCGAUCCCCUACAAAAUAGAUGAGGAUCCGUCCGAGCAAAGCUUGGUGGAUUAUAUUUACUCCACUAACUUUUGGCCGGACAUAGUCGAUCCUCUAAAUAUAACAGAGUAAAACUUUUAAUUGGCUUAUUAUGCAAUUCGUUGAACAUGGUGUGCGUCUGCUUGGGGACUCCGACAUGGCGAGCACCCCGACGGCGAGGAACACGGAUUAAACACAUAGCUGACCAGGAUGCAGAUGUUGACAAAAACUGCCACCAAGAUGGCAAGCCAGCCAUUGCCAAUUGCAGCGUGUUGCUUCUGCUGGCAAGCUAAACAUUGCUAAUCACCGGCCAGCACGGCUUGCUACUCGCAUGAUCCUGCUCGUCCUGCACCCCGCCUCGUCCCCCAUCGCGUGUUGCAGCUCCUGUUGCUUCCCCCUGAGGCCUUGUUUGGUAGAGGUGGAUUGAGGAGGUUUUGAGAGGUGGGGAUUGAAGAUGAUUUGGUGAAUCCUUCCCUUUCACCCAAUCCUCUUAAAUUCCCCCAUUUCCCCAAACCCCUCACAUACCCCUACUAUUUGGUACAUAGGGAUUGGUACACUGGGUUUGCAAGAUUACUAUACUAUAGUUAAAAAUGCAAUUUUGACAACUUCCAAAGCUCAAAGAAUCAGUGGCACUCAGAAUCUUUGCUGCAGCCUCAGAUGAUUAAUAUUACCAAGCUAACAUUAAGCAGUGGCACCCAUGGCAAGAAAUGAAACUAGCAAGAUGGAUGCAAGAAUAAGAGGAGAUAAUUAUUAACUGGUGUAAAACAAUCAAGAUAUAACAAGCAUAUUAUCAUGGAGGACUAAAAAUGUAAUGUAAGAGUGAAAACUACAAAUGAUGCGAUAAUACUGAAAUUUCAUUUGUAGAUGACUUUGUACAGGGUAAGUUUCAUGCACAUAAAGCAUCCAAGAUCAUGAUUUCCUGGUGUUUGGGGGACAAGAAAAUACGUGAGAAUUAGGUUCUGAAAAGAAGAAGAAAAUACAGGCGACAGUGCAUUUAUUCAGAGCUUGUUCCUCAAACAAACAAGAAUUGGCCAAUUGAAGAGUUUGCAAUGGAGACAAGGCCUUGAUUUAGAGCAGUUAAUUAGUCCCAAUAUAUUCAGGUGAUAGGUAAUGAUGAGAAGGAUUCACAAAGCAAGCUAGCAAGAUUCGAAUUCAGGCGACAGGGAGCACCGAUUGGGUGGCUUCCAACUUUCCUAGACCCUGACAACGAUUAUCCAUCAAACGAUAUAUCCAUCCAUCCAACGAUUUUCCAUCUAGUGCUACAUAUAUCUCUAGAUAGGCAGAUCCACGACAGGGAUUGACAGCAGUCACCAGGUGGAGCUGGAUACGCAUGGAGCUGGACAAGUUCUUCACUCCAUGGGAGGAGGAAGAAGGCGUGUCCCCCGCCACGGACCUAGGGUUUGCAGGGGAGGGGAUGGAGAAGUGGAGGACUGGAGGAUUCAGCUCGGGAAGAACCGGUGGAGGAGCGCGUCGACGAUCUGGUGGCGGCGGGGCGAUGAAGAUCCGGCAGCGGGACUCCUCCUCUUGGUGGCGGCGGGACGAUGCUCUGUCUCGGUGCGUCUCGCCCGUCUCGUUCCCUGCGGGUGCCCUCGAGGCUUGAAAGACGCGUGGAUAGGAGGGGAUCGAAGGGGGAUCGAGGGGGUUGGGUUGUGCAAACCCCGUGAAACAAAUGGGCCGCCAAAGUUUGUCGAGGUUUUUGAGCCCCGCGGGGUUAAUCCUCUCGAAACCCUCUCGAUCCUCCUGUAUCAAACGAGGCCUGACGGAGGACUGCACCCCGCCACCGGGCUCGACCAUGUAGUGCCUGAAGGGCCUGAACUCCUCCGUUGGACAGGCCUAAGGAAAGCUGAAGCUAGAUGGCGUCGCCGACUGCCUGCGAGAUGGGCCCCGGCAGUGAGUGUGGUGCUGCGUGGCACGAUGGCAGCAUGAGCUGCAGCUUGAGGUCAUGCCGAAAGCUCAUGCCACAGGCGCUCGGGAUGGGACGUGGCACUAGGCGGCGACCCGAUGAAAAGCCAGUGGUGGAGGCGAGGUCGCUGGGGGAGGUGGGUGGCCUAGGCUGCGGGUGGUCACCUAGGGGUGCCGGAGGAAUAGGGUGGCCACAGAGUGGGGAUGGCGCGGUCUUAGGGGGUGGCCCCAGAUUUUACUCGGCCGCCUCCAGGAGGAGUAAAUUUAGGGGUUGGAUAGCCGGAUGAGUAAAAUUUAUCCACCCUAGUACUUCGGCUAUGUGCAGCAUAAAGAAGGAAAAUCCAAUUUAUCCUCCCUUAUAGCCCGAUAGAGGAUCGGUUAGACUUGGUCUUACUAAGUUGUCCUUUGUUAAAAUCACUCAUUAUGCAUGAAUAACCUAAAGGUCUUGAUUUUAAAGGGGCCUUUGCUUUUUAAACUUGAUUUCAGCACGUCCAAAGACCGGUUUGGGUAUUACAGGUGAUGUCGUUCUGUUUGUUCAUAACUGCUUCUAGUGCCCGUUUUUCCUACUAGUGAAUAUUGGUUUCGUGCAUCGAUUUGGGAUGAUUGCUUUGCUCAUGGUGUACUUCGGCGAGUCGGGGUCGCUGGUCGCCUGCGUGCAGCUAUGAAGUUAUUCGUGCAAUUUUUUUCUUAAUUAAUAAAAAUGAAAGUCUUUUACCAAUUUAACAAAUCAAUUAGCAUUAUGCCGAGGAGGGACUGAGGGAGGCCGGCCAAACUGGGGUUGACGAUUGCCGACGCGGCUAGGCGAGCUAGGCCAAAAACAAGGAGCGCUCACACAGACAGAAAUGGAGUGCACGCUGACUGACACUGCACUUACGCACAUCGGCACAUGGUCCUACCUAUACGUGUUAUCCUACGCACGCUCCGUGCCAACCCCGAUGGACGUCUGCCUCCUCUUAUCCGGUGCAGAGUCUAGUAGAGCGCCCGCCCAUCGCGUGCUCCCAUUUUAAUAUGACCAACGAGGCGACGCCACUGUACCUGUGCUCUGCCCCGCCGCACCGCCCCCCGGUUCUACCAAAACCACGGUCUUGCCUCCCACCGUAUCAACUCGCCAUCCUUCCCGCCCGCCGGUUGCGCGGUUUCCAGCAACCUAUAAAUCCCGCCGGAGCACCUUGCUCUGCCAAUCUUAGCUCAUCUCACUCACACUGCUUACUUGACUUCACUACCUAGCUCACUUCCUUCGGAUCUCGUGCCACCAAGCUCUCUUCCACGGCCACGAAGAUGUCUACGGUGACCGGUGCCCACCUAGACCAGAGGCUCGCCGCCGCCAAGCGCUGCUCCAGAGGUAACCAAAACGAUGUCCCGCCGGUCCUGCCGGACAGCAACGCUCGUGUCCUUCUGCUGUCCGCGUCGCAGCCUAUCCCCUCAAAACUUGAUCGUAACUGACAUGUCUCUGUUGAUUUGAAACUGCAGAGGCUGCCAUGGCGGGAGCCAAGGCCGCAGCCGUCGCCACCGUCGCUGCCGCAGUCCCCACAGUAAGUAGCCAUUCAGUUCUUCCACGAAAUCCUUGCACGGUUCAUAGCAUGUCUCAUGAAUGCGUUAUCUGUAACUUCAGCUGGCGAGCGUGAGGAUGCUGCCGUGGGCCAAGACGCACCUGAACCCCGCCGGGCAGGCGCUCAUCAUCUCCACCGUCGCCGGGAUGGCCUACUUCAUCGUCGCCGACAAGACCAUCCUCUCCAUGGCCAGGAAGCAUUCCUUCGAGGACGCGCCGGACCACCUCAAGAACACCUCCUUCCACUAAUUAGGCUAUACUUUCAAUAAUUAGUAGUAGUGCGCAAUAAACUACACGCCGGCCCGUACGGCCGUACGUGUCUGCUGAAUGAUACUAGUAUGAUGUUCAGCGAGAGAGGCGAGGCGAUGCAGAUCAGGCCUCGCGCUUCUAUCCGUGCAAGCACUUAUCUCAUGAAGUUACCAUGUAAUCCAGCUAGUAUUCUUGGAUAAAUGAAUACUAGUAUUUGUACAACUCUAGUUCAUCUGCCAUCACUCAUCUUACAUGUGGCAGAGCAUAAAAAAAGAAUCUCCGACGCCGACCCCUAAAACGGACACUAUACCCGUUUGUGAGCCGGUCAUUUGACGCUAAUCCAUCAAACGUCCAGGCACAUUUCAAAUAGAUUUUAAGCAAACUAGAUAAAGCUCAUAUAGAUCAAACGAUUUUCAUUUAAUCCAGGUCAAAUUCAUUACAUUUUAGAUAUAUUUCAACUAAACAAAACCGGACGACACUGUUUACCCCGGUCUAAAUAUUCGUCGGUCGUGGAGGCCUUCGUGUUCCGCAUCAUGUCUUUACCAUGUCCGGCAAGUUCAGUGGCCGCAAGCUUUUGUGAAGUGAAGUGGCCGGAGGGGAAGAAUAUAACAUCAUGUCUUUACCAUGUCUGGCAAGUUCAGUGGCCGCAAGCUUUUGUGAAGUGAAGUUGCCGGAGGGGAAGAAUAUAAGAUGGGACACGACUCACAUGGGACCCGAGACUUGCCCACAUCAUGUUCUUCCCGGCCAGAGUCCAUCAUGUGGACGUUGCCGGGCAUGGAUGGAUCGGCCUCGUGGCCAUUACGGUUAGGCACGAACCGUGCUAGCGGCGCGACCAACGAGGAACUGGCGACGUCUGUGAUGUUUCUGCCCCAUCUUCGUCCGUCUCCGCGUCGAUCUCCAUGAGCAGGGUGUUAAUCGCCUCUUGCAGGACGCAUUGCCGCCAUCGCUUGCGAGGGAUGUCGUGAACUGCGGCCAACGACCAUGAGGCGAGUCCAUUCAACAUUUCCGACACGGAGGUUGUCUCAUCUCCAACGACAAGUACAACCAGGAUAGUUUGAUCUAUGUACGAUGUAGUACGUGGUUUAAUUUUAUGUUCCAUGAUGUAGCAUAAAAAAAGUAGAGGAUGAGAUUUGAGGUUUAGAGUAUCUCUAGCAGACCCCGAAAACGAGGACCUGUAAACUCAGUUUAAAGUUCGCUCAUUGCCUCGGAUACGGGCCGAAAACCUCCGCGAAAGAACAGAAACCGUAAAUGGAACUGUAAAUUUUGAAUUCAAGACUUCGCGGAAGAAAUAGAAGAGUUCAUAGUUCUUGAUCAGCAUACAUAGUUCAUACAUACACUAAAUUACACUAAAUAGCUAGGAGGAUAGGCAGCCACCGUAACCCUACAGUUAAAAAUUGGCUCAUCGGAGCCAUCAUGGUGCGGUGGCGACACUGCGGCGGCGGACAUCAUCAGUCGUCGGAAACGAGGUCGACGUAGAUGUCGUCCCGCGCCUUCUUCUCGCGGCGCCGUGUGUCUUGGUUGUCGACGAACUCCUUCUUCGCGAGCUCCUGCUCGAGGAGGACAUCGUCGAGGUUCACAAGGGAUUGUCGGCGCCCCUCCUCCUCCCCCCGCACACUGUGCACCAUGAUUGCCCACUCGAAGAUGUCCGCNNNNNNNNNNNNNNNNNNNNNNNNNNNNNNNNNNNNNNNNNNNNNNNNNNNNNNNNNNNNNNNNNNNNNNNNNNNNNNNNNNNNNNNNNNNNNNNNNNNNNNNNNNNNNNNNNNNNNNNNNNNNNNNNNNNNNNNNNNNNNNNNNNNNNNNNNNNNNNNNNNNNNNNNNNNNNNNNNNNNNNNNNNNNNNNNNNNNNNNNNNNNNNNNNNNNNNNNNNNNNNNNNNNNNNNNNNNNNNNNNNNNNNNNNNNNNNNNNNNNNNNNNNNNNNNNNNNNNNNNNNNNNNNNNNNNNNNNNNNNNNNNNNNNNNNNNNNNNNNNNNNNNNNNNNNNNNNNNNNNNNNNGGCGUGCGGGGACUGGACCCCCGAUGGAGGAGGAGCCCGCACCGGCGGUCGUACUCCUCCAUCUCACGGAGGAGGAGCGACUCCAGGGAGUGGAGGUCGUGGUUGGUGUACUUCUUUGCCGCGCGCUUCCUCGCGCCUUCAGCUCGGACACGCCGCUGGCGCUCGGGGUCGUCCCUCCCGCCGAAGCUGCGGCCGGAGCUCCACAUUCCGCCCCACAUAGUGGCAUUCGGUGGCGGGACUGGACUCACCGGCGACGAGAAAUAGAAGGGGGAUUGGGGAGGAUUGGGGAAUCGCGGCGGCGGGGGAUAGGGUUUCGACCCGUAUCGGCGCCGCGAACCCGUAGAUAUACCGCGUCCGGGGACGGCUUGCGGGCCACCAUAAAAUGUUUUACGGGCCGGGCGAGAAUACGGGCUCUGUUCUGGACAAAAAAAAUGGGCGAGCCCGUACAGUCGUCGGGAUUUUACGGGUCUACGCGUUUUGAGGGGUCUGCUACAGAUGCUCUUAUGGUUGCAGCGAAAGAUAAAUGAAGGGUGACCCGGCUCUGUCCAGGGAUGGGUCCAGAUGCAUUUGCGAACAUAUGGGGUCACUUUUGAAAUAUGCAGCUGUAGAUAUUGUAACAUUACCAAGAUUUUCACGGAAUUGUAUCGGGAUGCUUUUGUGUGUGGAAAAGAAUAACUAGUUUCCUACCUCUUCAUCUUUUUUUUGCAGGAAAGACUAAAAUAAAUCUAGAAAAAUGCAAUCACCAAUGCCAAUUCUAGAAUUGGAAUCUUGGUGGGCUAGGAUACCACUGUUCUCCUAACCAUCGAAUCAUUUGCUUCUGCCUUUUCAUCUUAAUAAUUCACACAUCCAUAUUUAUAUUUAUUAUAAACAAUUGUGAGUAGGAGUAAUAAAAUUCAGCACAAAUCAAUCAGUGGCGGGAGAAACAACGCCACAACCGGUGUAGGCAAACAUGCCUACACAAAAAGCAUAAUAUUGCAUCAUCUAUCCUACGUGAAAUGUUAAGUUAUUUUUAAUUAAAGAUAAAUUAUUUGCCUCAUCUAUUAAGUAAGAAAAGACAUGGGAGGAGCGUUUUGGCUACUGGGAGCAUUUACUCCUGGAUGAGCGGUACCGCCAAAAAGGUUGUAAAUCGUUUUUAAAAAAUUCUGAUUUUUUAUGGAUGUUCGUGUUAGUGUCGCAACCUUGCUUGACAAAUUUCAUGCGAUUCGGAAUAUCAGUGUUUCAUCGGUGAAAAACCAAAUUUGGGGUGACAUUUUGGGGCAGCAUUUGAUGUUCAUAUUUGUUUUGUUUUCAUAGGCCAAAAUGUUUAACCUUUUUGCCCAAAACUUUGCAGUAGCAUUUGGAUCUAAGUAUAAAUACAUAAAAUAAUUGUUGGAAUUUUUGUAACAUUUCAAAAAAUUGUUUUUCACACGCAGGAGCACAUGCUCCUGGGAGCCAAAUUGGAUUUCCGGAGAAUGACUCUAAAUAAAAUAAAAGGACAAUAGAGUGUGUGUUAGAAGCCGAAAAUGUGCUCAUUUUUAUUGUAUUCAUUUGAUGCUUUAUUUUGAGUAAUAUAAAAAGCACGAUGGUGAGGCCGACCCCGCCAAACAAAGGAUCAGGCGCUCGCGGAAUUGGAUCGCCGACGGGUUGACCGUAUACUGGGAGCGCCCACACAGGUCGCCAACAAACGGAGUGCACGCAGACAGAUACUGCUCUCACGCACAUGCUCCUACGUGUUAUCCUACGCACCAACACGCUCCCCGGCAACCCCGAUGGGUCGAUCCGCUGCAGAGCCCGCCACUUGUGUUCUGCCGCACCAAAAAAACCACGGUCUUGCUGGCUUCCCACCGUAUCAGGUCGUCUUCCUGCCCGGCCGCACGCUGGUUGAGCGGUUUCCUGCAACCUAUAAAUCCCGCCGGAUCACCUCGCUCUGCCCAUCUCAUCUCACUCGCAUUCACUCAACUGAUACUACUAGCUAGUCCACUUCCUUCGGAUCUCUUGCCACCAAGCUCUGCUCCCGCCAAGAUGUCGACGGUGACCCGCGCCUACCUCGACCAGAGGCUCGCCGCCGCCAAGCGCUGCUCCAAAGGUAACGGUUCGGGCCUCAGGCCAGCACUGCUCUGCUCGUAUAUCCCACCCAUUGCAGCCUAUGCUUGUGCUGAAACCUGACCUGGAUUAACAUUUCCCUACGUUGAUCCGAAACUGCAGAGGCUGCCAUGGCGGGAGCCAAGGCGGCGGCCGUCGCCACCGUCGCUGCCGCAGUGCCCACAGUAAGUAGCCGUUCAGUUCUUCAGUUCCAGAGUUCAUAGCACAUAUCUCAUGAAUGCGUCACCUGUAAUUUCAGCUGGCGAGCGUGAGGAUGCUGCCGUGGGCGAAGGCGCACCUGAACCCGACCGGGCAGGCCCUCAUCAUCUCCACCGUCGCCGGGAUGGCCUACUUCAUCGUCGCCGACAAGACCAUCCUCUCCAUGGCCAGGAAGCACUCGUACGAGACGGCGCCAGAGCACCUCAAGAACACCUCCUUCAACUAAAUUAGACAGUAGAUCCAUUAGUAGUGCGCAAUAAACCAUGUACGCCCGUCGCCAGUCGGCCUUUAGCCCUGUAUAAUGUUCAAUUGUUCAGUGAGGUGCGAUCAGGCGAGGCGAUACCUGCAGCGCGAAUGGUGGUGUACUGCUGUUCUCUGCGAGCAAUAACUAAUUAUGUGACAGUGAUGUAUGGAAUAAUGUGGCCAUGUUCUCCAUCUUGUCAUCUUUCCAGGGAUCGUGAAUUAAUAACAACCAGUUUUUGUACUACAACUUUGGUUCAAGUGCACUCACUCAUCGCACUUAUUUAUUGUUUGUGAUUACCAUUUGACAUGCGUCGGAGCAUUGCAAAAAACAGAGAGAACACUAGACUACUACUUUCUUCGUACCGGUGUAUUAGUCAUCUAAGUUUAUGCAUCGUGAUCAAGACAGAGGGGAAAACAAGAUAACUUAAUGUUUAUUAGCUAAUCAAUAUUAUUGCAUGUCGUGCUAGACAGUCUUAAGUCAUUAAAAGCAUACACGUCUCAUAUGUCUUUUAUAGGUUGAUUCCUUUAUUCAUAUUAAAAAACAAGAAAGGAAGUGGGAGUUAAGUACCACGUCUAAGUGUUUUAGAAUUACUUGGUUUUGGAAUGUGCCUUAAUGCACCAGUAUGGAGGGAAUAGUUCAUUCAUUAGAUACCAUACUACUCUCCUCUGUUUUGUCCCGAAAUGCACUUGAGGAUCAUGCCACCUGACCUCACACUUUAAAUCUUUUGAUACGGCUUAUUGGAUGCCUUGGCAAAUAAGGAUGGAAAAUUUAGCAGUUUUGAAACAAGCUUUGUGUACUAGUGGAGUCCCCCUGCUUAGGUUUGAGGUGUUUCUCGAGACCAGAGACACGUCAACAUUUUUCUUGGUCGCGAGUUGAUAUACAUUCAUAUCGCAUCCGCGUGUAAGUGUGCAUGUGAGAUAUCCAAAAAAUAGAAACAUAUGUAGAAUCUACGAAAGUUCCCUCUUGUUGGGUUGGAUUUAAGGCUUUAAAACUAUGUGUGUUGAUAGAGACAAAGGUGUCCCGUCUUUCGAUAAGAUGAAGGAUAUCGCUUUGGUGGAAGUCGACUUUGACGAUCCGACUACGAACGUGCGAGGACGUCGUGCAUUAGCAAUCGCUAAACCAACUCCGAGAGGUUAUUGACCACGCAGGAGCACGAUCAACCUGACCACGAGGGUCUGUUUCCUGCGAGCAAACGAAGAACAAACAAGAAACUGAGAUUGUAAUCUCGAUAUUGCGAAUAUAAGAUGAAAGCUUUAUGGAUCAAGGUGGGGUUCUGUGACGCCUUUGUCUGGUCGUUGAACACAAACGAAGUACGCGAAGUUGCAGCUAUGACGAACUUUAAUCUAAACAAAACCUCAAAGUCUAAACGGUGCCCUAAGGGCUGUAUAUAUGGAGGAAGAGAGGGGGAAUUUCGUGGCCCUUGGUGGAGGGGUCCGAAAUCAACCCUAUCUCUUGUUUCCCCACACAUACGGACUCUAAAAAUAUCUUAUACGUAUGUAUUUCGAAAUUACAUGGGCCCGGCCCAAUAAAAAGGUGACACAACACCUAUAAUAGCCUCUGGACGAAAUUUAUGAAGUGACAUCUUGUAUAUUUCAUCCAAGGCUUCAUGCACUCGUUAUGGUGGCUUCAAAGACCUGAAAUCAUCACUUGUAACUCCGUUCUUGUUCCCCUUGCGCAUGCCAUCAUCUCCAUGCUUGGUCUUGCUCCAAUGUUCAUCCUUCUUCAAGCUAGGCCCUUCAUUUGUAAGCAAAACAAAUGUAUCCAAUUUAGGCAGCAUCAUAUUCUCAUGAACAUUAGAAUCAUUACCAAGAAAUGAAAGUACCUGGUAAUUUAGUUGGCGUGCGCGAGCUCUAGUAAUUGGUCCAGUAUGUAUAGCAGCAGGGGCAGUGGGUGUAACAAUGGUAUUGAUGUCCUCAUCAUCCUCCCCUUCUUGAAAUGAAGUCGUCCUCGACGGAAGCUCAUCUUCCUCACCCAAAUAAGGCUUCAAAUCUGCAAUGUUAAAAGUGGGACUAACCCCAAAAUCUGCAGGCAACUCAAGUUUAUAUGCAGUAUCAUUUAUUUUCUCUAACACAUUAAAGGGACCAUCAGCACGUGGCAUGAGCUUUGAUUUGCGCAAAUCAGGAAAUCUAUCCUUACGCAAAUGUAACCAAACAAGAUCUCCAGGUGCAAACACAACAUGUUUUCUACCCUUAUCUCCAGCAAGUUUAUAUUUGGCAUUCAUACGCUCAAUGUUUUCCUUAGAUAACUCAUGCAUUUUUAAAAUCAAUUCAGCACGUUGUUUAGCAUCAAAAUUAACCUUCUCCGAAGAUGGAAGAGGCAACAAAUCAAUAGGUGCACGAGGUAGGAAACCAUACACAACUUCAAAAGGGCACAACUUAGUAGUAGAAUGCAAUGAACGAUUAUAAGCAAAUUCAAUAUGAGGCAAGCAUUCCUCCCACAUUUUCUUAUUACUCUUCAAAACAUCCCUAAGUAUAGUAGACAAUGUUCUAUUGACUACUUCAGUUUGUCCAUCAGUUUGGGGGUGACAAGUAGUACUAAAAAGCAGUUUAGUCCCCAACUUAGCCCAUAAACAUCUCCAAAAGUGGCUAAGAAAUUUAGUAUCACGACCUGAAACAAUAGUAUUUGGCACAUCAUGCAAGCGAAUAAUUUCACGAAAGAACAAAUCAGCAACAUUAACAGCAUCAUUGCUUUUAUGACAUGGUAUAAAGUGUGCCAUUUUCAAGAAUCUAUCCACGACAACAAAUAUGCUAUCCCUCCCCUUCUUUGUUCGAGGUAAACCUAAAACAAAGUCCAUAGAUAUAUCCUCCCAAGGAACACUAGGUACAGGCAAAGACAUAUAUAAACCAUGAGAAUUGAGUCGUGACUUAGCUUUUUGACAUGUAGUGCAGCGAGCAAUAAAACGCUCAACAUCCCGUCUCAUCUCUGGCCAAAAGAAAUGUGUAGCAAGUACGUCCUCCGUCUUCUUCACGCCAAAGUGUCCCAUUAAUCCUCCUCCAUGCGCCUCCUGCAACAACAAAAGACGAACGGAGCUAGCUGGAAUGCAUAGCUUGUUAGCACGAAACACAAAUCCAUCGUUAACGACAAACUUGUUCCACAUUCUUCCUUCUUUACAAUUCUGCAUUACAUCUUUAAAAUCAGCAUCAUGCACAUAUUGAUCUUUGAUGGUCUCCAAACCAAAUAUUUUGAAGUCAAGUUGUGAAAGCAUAGUAUAGGGACGAGACAAUGCAUCAGCAAUAACAUUUUCUUUUCCCUUCUUGUGUUUAAUGACAUAAGGGAAAGUCUCAAUGAAUUCAACCCAUUUAGCAUGUCUACGAUUCAGUUUAGCUUGACUUUUAAUAUGUUUCAAAGAUUCAUGAUCAGAAUGUAUAACAAAUUCUUUGGGCCAUAAAUAAUGUUGCCAUGUUUCUAAAGUCCGAACAAGAGCAUAUAAUUCUUUAUCAUAAGUAGAAUAAUUCAGACUAGGCCCACUCAAUUUUUCAGAAAAGUAUGCAACAAGUUUGCCAUCUUGUAAUAACACACAUCCUAAUCCAAUUCCACUAGCAUCACAUUCAAGCUCAAAAGUCUUAUUAAAAUCAGGAAGUUGGAGUAAAGGAGCAUGUGUCAACUUAUCUUUCAAUACCGUGAAGGCUUCUUUCUGUGCGGUACCCCACAGAAAAGGCACAUCUUUCUUUGUAAGCUCAUUGAGAGGUGCAGCAAUGGUGCUGAAAUCUCUUACAAAACGCCUAUAGAAUCCAGCGAGGCCAACAAAACUCCUCACUUGUGUGACCGUUUUGGGCUGCGGCCAACUCUCAAUAGCUUCAAUCUUGGCUUUAUCAACUUCAAUCCCAUGUGGAGUAACAACAUAGCCAAGAAAAGAUACUCGGUCGGUGCAAAAGGUGCACUUCCCAAGGUUACCAAACAAACAUGCAUCACGUAGAGCAAUAAAAACAACACGUAAAUGUUCCAAAUGUUCUUCCAAAGAUCUGCUAUAAAUCAAUAUGUCAUCAAAGUAAACUACCACAAAUCGUCCAAUGAAAGCACGUAAAACUUUGUUCAUUAAUCUCAUGAAAGUACUAGGUGCAUUAGUUAACCCAAAAGGCAUGACUAACCACUCAUAUAAUCCAAACUUAGUUUUAAAUGCUAUUUUCCAUUCAUCUCCCAAUUUCAUACGAAUUUGAUGGUAUCCACUAGGCAAAUCAACUUUGGAGAAUAUUGUAGAGCCACUCAAUUCAUCAAGCAUAUCAUCUAGCCUAGGAAUAGGAUGACGAUAACGAAUAGUAAUAUUAUUAAUGCCUCUACAAUCAACACACAUACGUGAUGUACCAUCCUUUUUCGGCACUAGAAUAAUAGGAACAGCACAAGGACUAAGGGAUUCGCGUAUAUAACCUUUGUCGAGAAGCUCUUGUACUUGACGCAUACUCUCCUUCGUCUCCUCUUGAUUGGUACGGUAUGGCGCACGGUUUGGCAGUGAAGCACCGGGAAUUAAGUCAAUCUGACGCUCAAUCCCUCGAAUAGGCGGUAAUCCCGGUGGCACGUCUUGUGAAAAGACGUCAGCGAACUCCUGCAAAAUGUUAGUGACAGCAGGAGGCAAAGAGGAAGGCACGUCCUCAAAUGAAAAUAAUGCCUCUUUGCACACAAAAGCAUAGCAAACAGAUUUGCUGAAAUCUAGCUCAUCAAUAUCAGAUUUGGUGGCAAAUAAACAUGCACUUUUCAAUUUAAUUUCAGAAGCAACACUAGAUGGUUUAUUAUUAGGCUUCAUUUGUUGCUCAAAUUCUUUUGCCACAAUCUGAUUUUCACUCUUAUUCUUCUCCUGUUUUGCUUUAUCAGCUCUAUUAAUAUCAUCUUUCAAAAUGGAAUCAGGAGUCAUAGGAAGCAAAGUAAUUUUUUUAUCCUUAUGAACAAGAGUAUAGUGAUUGUUUCUACCAUGGUGUACAGAAUUUUUAUCAAAUUGCCAUAGUCUACCAAGUAAUAAGAAACAUGCUUGCAUAGGUACCACAUCACAAUCAACAUAAUCAACAUAUGUAGAGAUACUAAAAUGCACACGAACAGUACGUGUUACCUUAACCUUGCCGCUGUUGUUGAACCAUUGGAUGUAGUAAGGAUGUGGAUGUGGUCUUGUGGUGAGAGAAAGCUUCUCCACCAUCUCCAUGCUAGCCAAGUUGUUGCAGCUCCCUCCGUCUAUGAUGACGCGCACAGAAUGUUCCUUCACAACUCUCUUGGUAUGGAACAAAUUGUGCCUCUGAUUUUGCUCAGCUUGUGUGACCUGCACACUCAAAACACGUUGAGCAACUAAACAUUCAUAUAUGUCAGCGUCUUCAGGAGCCAUGUAUUGCGUCUCAUGAUCAGAAUCAUCUCCACCAUGUUCUUCACGUGUAAUAAGAGCCAAAGUCUCCUCAUCAUAGUCACUAGCGGACUCAUACCCACCAUCCUCAGUAGCAAUCAUCACACACUGAGAUUUGCAUUCUCGCGCAUAAUGACCUCUUCCCUUACAACGACGACAAAUAAUAUCACUUGUGUGCCCUGUUGAUCCCAUGGAAGAAGAAGAGCUCUAUGCAGGCCCGACAGGUGCGCUCUUGGCAGAUGAUGGUGGUUGUGCCUGCUUUCUUGUAUCAUGGCUGGAGAUGGCACCUGAUGGAGUUGCUGGUGUAGUGGAAGUAGAAGAUGCACGCGGUGUCCAUGAAGAAGGUCGACCUGCAGAAAAGUUAGUGCGCGCCAUUGCUUGUCAAUCAUGCACUUCACGUUCAGCUUUACAAGCAAGAUGGAAUAAACGAGUGAUAUUAGUAUACUCCUUAUAUUCUAGAAUAGUCUGAAUCUCUCUAUUUAAUCCACCCGUAAAACGCGCAAGCAUAGCUUCAUUCUCCUCAACAAUACCACAUCUAAUCAUGCCAGUUUGUAAUUCCUGAUAAUAUUCCUCUACAGAAAUUUUUCCUUGUCUUAAACGCUGCAAUUUUUGAAGCAAUUCACGUUGAUAAUAUGGUGGAACCCAACGAGUACGCAUAGCAGUUUUCAAAGCAGCCGAAGUAGCUGGAAUAGGAUAUAAUCUACAAUGUUCAGACCACCAUACACAUGCAAAACUAGUGAAAGCACAAACAGCAGCAGCAACCCGUCUCUCCUCGAGAUAUUGUAAACAUGUAAAACGUUGUUCAGUUUCUAACUCCCAUGUAAGAUAUAUAUCAGGAACAUAUCUACCCUCAAAUGGUGGAAUAUUCAUUUCAGUUUGGGAAUAUGGACAUCAUCUCGUACCUGAGGUGGUGGUGCAGACCUACCAUUACGAAUAUAUACCUGAGGUCGACCUGCUGGUGGUGGUGCUGGUGGUUGCACGUAGUUUUGAUUUUGAUCAACCUCAUCCUCAUAAUCGCCCGCAUACUCAUCAUCCUCCUGGGUACCAGCAGCAGCAGUAGCAUGAGCCAAAGAAGCAUCAACAACAGGAACAACAACACCAGAAGUUUGGCCAUCCUCAAUAGGAACACGCUUCGCUUGUCCAUACUGAUUCGGAAGGAGGCGUUGUUGUUGUUGUUGCAGAGGUGCAAUAGGUGCAGCCGGCGGUGGUUGUGGAAAACGCGCGAGCAAUUCAUUAAACUUGCUAUCAAGCUUUGUUUUGAACGUCUUCUCAAUGCCAUCUAUCUUCUCCAUGGCCUCGUCAAAUCUGUUUCGCACAUCUUGCACCUAUCCACUCAUCAUUUGUUGAAAUUUAUCAUGUAGCUGUUUGUUCGUCAGGUUCUCCCAAUCAGUCUAAUCGGCUUGUGAUCCUGGCAUGGUUAGCAGCAAUAGAAACACAAAAUAAUAUGAUUCUACAGACUACUAGGAAGCGGUGGUGGUGGUGGUGUGUCACAAAUCCUUCAAGCGAAUUUUAAAUUCUUACCAGUUCUUACCCAGCAGCAGGUGGUGAUCGGCAACCGUUAUAGUCAAAACUCUCAAAGCUUGGAUAGAGCGAUUACCAGGGAGAAUCAAACGCACGACGUAGAUGUAUGUGGAGCUGGAAAGGCUUAUAAUAUGGUAGCAAAAAGGGUCAGCAAUAAUCAAUUCAGAGAUGCAAAGUUGAAUAAACGCUCAACGACGGUACUGUGCUGGUCCUAGGCUAGACUGUGCUAGAGACACGAGCCUAGAACACUAACAAAAUCACGGCGCUGCACGUAAACAAGGGAGGAGCAUACUCUGAAUUUUUUCUCUCUUUUUUUUGCACUUUUUUCUUUUUUUUUGCUUCGCAACAAUUUUUUUGAAAAAGUCUACAAAUGGUCUAGAAACUGCCUAGCCAGAAUUUUCCAGACUUAGUUUUUUUAAACUGGAGCUAUUUUUCUACUGCGGGUAACACGAAAGUUCGGGAGUCCUUGUCUAUCACGACUCGGAGUAUGGCGUGAUCUGGAAGUCGAAAACAAAGCAACAAAUACUGGACUCGGACUAGGACUGGUGGCGGAGAUGAAUCUGGUGGAACUCGGACUGGUGGUGAAGAUGAAUCUGGUGGAACUCGGACUGGUGGCAGAUAUAUGUUGCAGGUGGACUCGGAUUAGCGUGAUGGAGGUGGAUAUGUGGUAUAUGGCUGCAGUGAUGUCGAUGGUGGUAGAUGGCAGCGGUGAUGACGAUGGUGGUAUAUGGCAGCGGUGAUGAUGAUGGUGGUAUAUGGCAGCGGUGAUGACGAUGGUGGUAUAUGGCAGCGGUGAUGAUGAUGGUGGUAUAUGGCAGCGGUGAUGAUGAUGGUGGUAUAUGGCAGCGGUGAUGACGAUGGUGGUAUAUGGCAGCGGUGAUGAUGAUGAUGCGGCAGCGGCAUGACAACUUGUGAACAGAACUCGAAACUCUAAAGGACUAGACACUAAGACCAGCAACUAGACACGACGAUGCAACCGCAAAUUCAACAACGCAAAUACAGAAGAGAUCAUGCAAUGGCUCAGACUGGUUCGGAUAUGAUGAACUAACCCUAAAUUUUUUUGUGGCUUUUUCGUGGACUAUAGGUAUGAAGAAAAGACUCGAUCUAAACUACGAAAAACUGUAAAAUCUCAACGAGCAACCUGGAAAUUUGAUACCACUUGAUAGAGGCAAAGGUGUCCCGUCUUUCGAUGAGAUGAUGGAUAUCGCUUUGGUGGAAGUCGACUUUGACGAUCCGACUACGAACAUGCGAGGACGUCGCGCCUUAGCAAUCGCUAAACCAACUCCGAGAGGUUAUUGACCACACCAGAGCACGAUCAACCUGACCACGAGGGUCUGUUUCCUGCGAGCAAACGAAGAACAAGCAAGAAACUGAGAUUGCAAUCUGGAUAUUGCGAAUAUAAGAUGAAAGCUUUAUUGAUCAAGGUGGGGUUCUGUGACGCCUUUGUCUGGUCGUUGAACACAAACGAAGUACGCGAAGUUGUAGCUAUGGCGAACUUUAAUCUAAACAAAACCUCAAAGUCUAAACGGUGCCCUAAGGGCUGUAUAUAUGGAGGAAGAGAGGGGAAAUUUCGUGGCCCUUGGUGGAGGGGUCCGAAAUCAACCCUAUCUCUUGUUUCCCCACACAUACAGACUCUAAAAAUAUCAUAUACUUAUGUAUUUAGAAAUUACAUGGGCCUGGCCCAAUAAAAAGGUGACGCGACACCUAUAAUAGCCUCUGACGAAAUUUAUUAAGUGACAUCUUGUAUAUUUCGUCCAAGGCUUCAUGCACUCGUUAUGGUGGCUUCAAAGACCUGAAAUCAUCACUUGUAACUCCGUUCUUGUUCCCCUUGCGCACGCCAUCAUCUCCAUGCUUGGUCUUGCUCCAAUGUUCAUCCUUCUCCAAGGUAGGCCCUUCAUUUGUAAGCAAAACAAAUGUAUCCAAUUUAGGCAGCAUCAUAUUCUCAUGAACAUUAGAAUCAUUACCAAGAAACGAAAGUACCUGGUAAUUUAGUUGGCGUGCGCGAGCUCUAGUAAUUGGUCCAGUAUGUAUAGCAGCAGGGGCUGUGGGUGUAACAAUGGUAUUGAUGUCCUCAUCAUGUGUUGAAUUUGUUAAGUAAGAGCUUCUACAACCGGAGCUCCCAUAUCCGUCCUAAACUUAUCAAAUUGCUUAAUCAGAUCUCUCUGUGUUACUAUGGUAGCAUCUAAAGGCAUUUGACAGGAAAACAUGUCACUAAUUGUCAAGCUACCAUCGGGUAGGCGAUCGGUGUGACACCCAUGCUGAAUCUUCAAUAACUUCAUGGAGCUGCUGGGUGGCACCAACCUACGCAAAGUAGCAUAGCAUGACCACGCUAUUCGCAACACAAAAGGAGAAUCACAAAACAACACAAGACAAUGGUUUAUUUCUUUACCCAAUAGGAGAAAUGACACCUUCACCAGGCUCCAGAGGCCGCCGUACCAUGCCGCCGAGAUCCGGGCGAAUGGAGGUCGUGGAAGCAACAAUGCGGUGACAGAUCAGCGGGAGGACAAGACUCGAGGUGGUGGUGAAAAGGAGGGUCUAACAACCAAAAUUUAGGGACGUGUCACUAUAGAGCACUGCAGGUGAGCCCGCAGUGGAGAAAGACAUGAAUCAGAGGGGCAAAAUGGGAAUUGUGGCCCCAAUGGCGGGCCCCCACAUCGACGGACACUCAAAGGGUCUUGUCGCCAAUAUUGGUGGGCCCACGUCGGAGUGGAAAUGGAAAUUAUGGUGCAAUAUUUGGCCCGCACAUCACCCGAAAGGGUUAAUCGAGUCUUUUUGUGGCUGCAGUUGAUGUGGUGAAGUGAUGGGUCCAAAAUGGAAUGAAACAACGCAAAGUUGACGGCAACCGAUGGAGAUUACGUGCAGUUUCAUACACCAAUUUUUUUUCACAAUCGUUAGUGCCCGGACCGAAAUAUGGAAAAUUGAGUGGCAGAACUCGAAUAUACAACAUUGGCAGUGGCACAAACUGAUUCUUCCCAAAAGUAUAAUAUGAACUUUUUUUCAUGAUGGGUUUGGGGAUAUUGAUUGCUAUCAUACAUGUUAAUAUUUCCUUCUUAUAAACUAGAACAAAGUGUAAUCAAUCAAAAAUAAUAUGCACUCUAUUAUGAAAUUAGGGGAGUAAGCCCUAUCUAUAAGACAACAUGACCGUGGCUAUUGAUGAUUUCUCGGUAGACUAGUAAUGAAAUUUCAUAGGAUUUAAUCCCUCUGUUCCUAAAUAUAAUAUUUUUAGAGAUUUUAAUAUGGACUACAACGGAGCAAAAUGAGUGAAUCUACACUCUAAACUAUGUCUAUAUACAUCCGUAUGUUGUUUGUAGUGAAAUCUCUAGAAAGUCUUAUAUUUAGGGAUAGAGGAACUAUUUGCCAUUUAUUUGAAGAAAGAUAACUUUUAUCCAAAGAAAAAUGAAACAUGUCAAUUAAUGACAUUAAUUGGAUAGGGAUAACCUUGUUGCCACCACAUCUAUAUAAGGCGACUGGACGGUGCCCCUCAUGACCACAAAAACAUACUGGUUGACAGACUAUUGCAUAAUUAUAUAUUUUCUGUUGUUCUGUGUUCUUAGGCAAUGGCGAACAAUGGCAUCUUCGAAGUGAUCAUUGUUUUUCUCAUGGCGCAAGUCUGCUUGCUCAUGAUGAUGGCAACUAGCACAUGCAGCUGCUAGACCGGUGGGGUACAAUCCAGUGUGCUGCCCUAGGAACAUCUGUUGUUGCGGGUUCGGUAGCGGAUUGGCCAAUUCACCCGCACCAUCCAUUGUAUCUUGAUGUGUGGUUUUAUUUUCCCCCAAGUAGUAAGCUCAACAUAUAAUUGAUAUAUGUGGUUCAUGUGUUAUGUAAUCCUGAAUAUUUGUGAUGCUACUUUCAAGAGGUUAUUGUACUAGUUACUUACUUAAUAAAAUGGGAGGAUAUUAUUAUAUAUCUUGCUCGGAAUAUACCGCAAAGAGACUUAAGAUUAUGUUUACUUUAGUUCUUUUGGAAACUAGAUUAUUUUGCUGCAUUGAUUUAAGAAAAAAGAGUAACUAAGCAUACACGUUGACCUCAUGAGUCUGCAGUGUGUGCCUUUGGGAAUAUCUGUUUUAUCAUUCUGUUGGUCGUACAUUGUGUCAAGAUCAUCCGUGUCAUGGCGACAUGCUUUAUUUUCGUAGAGAACAUAAUUUUUUUAAACCAUUUAUUGGGUAAAGGAGUAUAUCACCAAUUAGUAGAAACCAACUACUAUUGGCAGGCUUUUUUUUGUUAAUUCAGGGAUGCACACUGUUUUGUUUUGCAUGAAUACCAAAGUCAUAUAUUGAAAUGGUCUUUUCCCCAACGGCAAUGGAUCCGGGCCAGGAUCGAAGCAGGCGCCAAAGACUUGAUUGCUUUUUAGUUUCAUCUGUUGGGGUCCUAUUUGCAAAGUUUCUCGCCUGGGCUAUAAUUUCUACUUACUGUUGGGUUCUUUUGUAAUAUGUUGCAUGCUUAUCUAAUUUAAGUCUGGGUUUCUUCCUCAGUUCAAAUAUAUAUAUAUAUAUAUAUAUAUAUAUAUAUAUAUAUAUAUAUAUAUAUAUAUAUAUAUAUAUAUAUAUAUAUAUAUAUAUAUAUAUGGUCCAACCCUUACAACACCAUCCUUCCAAAAGCAUAAAAUAAAACAUAUACCCUCGUGUAUAUCAACAACGCCUUUCUCCCGCACUCGCACCCCAUGGGCAAAGCUCGAUAUUGCAGUUGGAUAUCCAAAACGCCCUCACAGCCGGGGUAAAUCAUUCUCUGUGUGUGCUCAAUUCCUCAGAAAACAAUCAAAAAAUCAUACAUGAAUACAACUCUUUGCUCUUUUACGGAACGCAAAAGGAUUGUUUUGUUCUGGAUCCUAUAUGUGUAAUCUAUCUAUCUAAAUUAAUUAAAGAGAUCUCAUAAACUCCAACGGUUAAUCAGAAAUUAUGAAUUGUUCAUCUGGUGGGACCGAGUUUGGCACAAGGACCGUCGAAGGACCGGAAAAGGGGAGGGAAAUGGACGGAAACUAAAAUGAAGGCAGAGGACCAGUUGACAAAGAGAAGUGAAGACCCUGUCCUGAGCUACUCACUAAGUUUAGGCGGUUUCAAUAGUAGAUGCAGUUUCUUUUAUUACCAACCGCCUCCAAUACUUAUUGCAAGCGGUUAUGUUGUUCUAACCGCCUACGGUGUGAAUAUUACAGGCGACUUCGUUCUAUUUGAUCACAACCGCUUGUGGAGUCUACGUUGUGGGUGGAGUCUCCGUUGGUAGUUACAUCGGCCGAUGUGAUGUGUAUUGUCAUGUUCCAUGAUGAUAGUUUGUUGGGCGUGUUGUUAUGGUUUUUGCCCAAUUUUUCUAAAUUAGCUGGACAAUUUAUUUUUUUAAUUAAUGCAAGUAAAUGAUAAAUCUUUUGUCUUCCCCGCAAAAAAAAUAUAUCUUUUGUCUCGUUUAAUCUUUUGCCAAGCAACAAAGGUUUUGCACCGAACCAUUGGCGGAAUUGGCCUGAUUGCCGACGCGGCGAGCCGAGCUCUCCUACGCUGGUGGAAUUGGCUGAAAACUGGGAGCGCCCGCCCAAACAGAAACUUGGUGCACGCUGACAGACACUGCACUCACGCACAUGCUCCUACAUACUGUACGUGUUAUCCUACGGUGACAGACCUGCCAACCCCGAUGGAUCGAUCGAUGCCUCCUCUUAUCCUCUGCAGAGUGCAGUGGAGCGCCCGCCCUUCACGUGCUCUGUUUUCUAGGAGUAGUAGUAUAUGACCAACGACAACGAGCCGCCGCCACCUGUGCUCUGCGGCAGCGCCGGCCAUCCCGCCCGCCCGCCGCUCGUCUCAAAACCACGGUCUCGCUUCCCACCGUAUCAAAUCGCCUUUCUUCCCGCCCGCUGGUUGCGCGGUUUCCUGCAACCUAUAAAUCCAGUCGGAGAACCUCACCUGUCCAUCCAUCUCAUCUCAUCCAACUCACACUACUACUGAUCUCAGCUAGCCUAGGAGUACUCGAGUUUACUACCAGUUCAAUUCCUUCGGUACGAGGCUCUCUCCGGCGAAGAUGUCUACGGUGACCCGCGCCUACCUCGACCAGAGGCUCGCCGCCGCCAAGCGCUGCUCCAGAGGUAACCAAAACGAUAUGAUGUCGCGCCGGUCCUCAAGGGCACAUUGCAGCUUUCUCUACUGUCUCUGCUGAAACUUGAUCGUAACUAAAAUGUCUCUUUUGCUCCGGAACUGCAGAGGCUGCCAUGGCGGGAGCAAAGGCCGCGGCCGUCGCCACCGUCGCUGCCGCAGUGCCCACAGUAAGUAGCCGUUCAGUUCUUCAGUUCAGAGUUCAUAGCACAUAUCUCAUGAAUGCGUUACCUGUAAUUUCAGCUGGCGAGCGUGAGGAUGCUGCCGUGGGCCAAGGCGCACCUGAACCCGACCGGGCAGGCGCUCAUCAUCUCCACCGUGGCCGGGAUGGCCUACUUCAUCGUCGCCGACAAGACCAUCCUGUCCAUGGCCAGAAAGCACUCCUUCGACGACGCGCCAGACCACCUCAAGAACACCUCCUUCCACUAAUUAGACACUUGAUUAGCCAUGGCCCAAUAAACUGUGUACGCAGGCCCGUGGCAACGUGUCGGCUGAAACAUAGUAGUAUAAUGUUCAGCGACAGGGCCAGCAGGCGAGGCGACGAUGGUUGCAGUGCUGAAAGGUGGUGUUCAGCCCUUCAAUUUGUGCGAGCAAG
This 72355-nucleotide long non-coding RNA is filed under the name Triticum aestivum (bread wheat). RNAcentral describes it as "long non-coding RNA (TAES_LNC002311)". The stretch from base 245 to 369 matches the Rfam family "MIR1120/MIR1122 microRNA precursor family". Lineage: Eukaryota; Viridiplantae; Streptophyta; Magnoliopsida; Poales; Poaceae. The record is from RNAcentral.